This 57950-nucleotide long non-coding RNA is filed under the name Ananas comosus (pineapple). RNAcentral describes it as "long non-coding RNA (ACOM_LNC008937)". Lineage: Eukaryota; Viridiplantae; Streptophyta; Magnoliopsida; Poales; Bromeliaceae. The record is from RNAcentral.
CCUACCUCUCUCUUUUUUGUUUUUUUCCUUCGUUCUUUUUUUCUCUUCGACUCUUAUUGCCUCCUCCACCGCCUUCGCGGCCCUUGGCGACGGUAACACGAGUGGUGCCACUUCCUCUUCUUCUAUUUCCUCUUCCACCGGUGCUGGUUGCCUUCAACGAUGGUAACAAGGGAGGCAAUGUCUUCUCCACCUUUGCUGGCGCCGCAGAAGGAGAAGGAGAGUUCAAAGCGGGCCCGAGUGAGGGCGUAGUAGAUGGAGGCGAUGAAGUCGUUUCCGUAUUUCAGGGUUCUGAUGUGGUGCACGAAGUAUAGAGGCGGGGUAGAGAGGCUCAUAUUAGUGAGGAUGGAGGUCGGAGGGACAGGUCGGAAGGGGAGGGGGAGGGGGAGGGGGAGGAGGGGGUCAAGGAAAGAGAAAGAAAAAGAAUAUGAUGAGACGAUGAGGGUCGAAGAAUAGUGCAAUUUUCUCUAAAACAGUAAAAUUUUUGUCAAAAGAGUACAACUUUUAUUUCAAAGAGUGUAUGUCACAUCCCAAUAAUCCCACAUCGGAUAGGAAUAAGGAUAUGAUUGGGUAUAUAAUAGAAUUAGUAAACGCUAGUAAUAAUAACUGGGUUCAAACAUUUUGAGCCGGUGUUUGGAUCUAACGAGUUAUUGUUGCUAGUAGGUUGGGUCAUUACAUUUGGUAAUAUAGCCGGUUUACCAGCUGAAAAUACGUGGCGAGUCUCGGCUGAGUUAGGGUCUAAAAGAUAAGGUGAUAGGCAAUGCCGGAGUCUGAAUGGCAAGGUGACCGGCUAUGCCAAGAUUUAGAUGACAAGGCUAGUGAGACGAGUCUCACAUCGCUUGGUGAUCUUGGGCUGUGUGUAAUUGGAUUGACGAGGACGUCAAGGCCAUAACGGUGGACUGGGUCGUUACAAUAUAAUUUUCAUUUCAAAGAGUGAACGUUCAUUAAACAGUGUAAGUUUAUUUUAACAGUGCAACCUUCAUCUUUUUCUUCCCUUUUCUCUGAUUCUUAAACUUUUCGCUAGCAGCAACAAUAUAUAAUGGACUUUUAAAGAGAUUUUUUUUAAAAUCUUUUUACUUUUUAUUCUUAUUUUUUCAACCUUUUGCAUCUUUGUCCGCUCCUUGGUGAUGGGCACGUCUUUUUUCUUCACCUUCACGGGCUGCGAGCACCUCCUCGGCGAUGAUCUCAUCGCUUCCAUCCGCUCUGCCCUCACCUAGGCCCAUUUCAAGUUCUCCUUUUCCCUCUCCGGUGCUGGCAGAGGCGGCGGCGGAGGAAGCUAGCGCGUUACCAUCACAGAGGGCCGUCGACGCUGAUGGAGGAGGAGAUAGAGGAAAAAGAGAUGACACCGCCCUCGUUACCGUCACCGAGACCACAGAGGCGGUGGAGGAGGCGAUGAGGGUUAGAGAGAAAAAAAAACGAAAAAAAAAGAAGAGAGAGAAAGGAAUAAAGAUAUUUUGGUCAGUUUUUUGAAAAUCCAGUUUGAAUCUGCAAAAUUGGAAGAGGCGGUCUAGUUUUGCAAAAGCUCAAAAUUUGUGAAUUUUUUAUGCAAAUUGGCCUUUAAUAUAUAUAAUAAUACUUAAUAAAAAUAAUUAAAUAUUAAUAUUUAAAUGAUAAAAUAAUAAAAUAAAUAAUACAUCAAAUUAAUUACUUUAUAUUAUAUAAUAAGAUUUAAGUUUAAAUAUAUUAUCACAAAGAUAAUAUUUAUAUUAAUAUAUUUAUUUAUAUAUCAAUUUAUCUAAUAAAAUAAAGAGAAGAACAAAGUUAUUCUUAGUUCCCUUAAGAACAACUUAACGGGUUGUUCCAGAACAAUCCACUUUGACCAGAACAGAUGUAGUUCUUCCACUAUUUUGGUACAAAUUAUGGGAUAAUUGUUCCGGGAUAUCUCCCUUACACAAACAUAGCCUUAGGUUUAUGUAGAGACGAUAAUUUUAAAACCGUCAAAAUCAAGUUGCACAAUCAUUUUAGAAAUAAUAAAGAGCUAUGGUAGCCAUAUAGAGCUAGCAAUCCAACUCGCUAUUCACGAGUCAGCUCGUUUCGGCUCGAAAUGAUUUCGAAAUUGAUCACUAAAUAAAUAAGUCGACACAAACUGAAUUUUUCAGUUCGAGAUCUUAACGAGCCAUACACACGUUCGGGUCAGCAUACUAGUAUUCAAUUCAAUAUAGCUUGAAUUAUAUAUAUAUAGAACUAGACUGUAAUACUAUCAAUAGCACCAAGCUAUUGGUGCUAUUAGGUUUUCGGCCUUUAGAUGAAAAAAUAUAAGGUCAGGAUGAUGUGAGCCUUCUAGGGUUGAGUGAGUUAUUGAUUGAAUAGUAUAAUCUAGUGGGUGAAAAUAGUCAAAGGGUUAAAUCUAACGGCAUAAAACUUGGUAGCACCAAACGCUUGGUGCUAUUGAUAGUAUCCCAGUCGGACUCUCUCUCUCUCUCUCUCUCUUUCUCUCUCUCUUUAUAUAUAUAGAGAGAGAGUCCGGCUAUGGUGCUUGUAAAAGCACCAAGCACUUGGUGUUUGUAACUUUUCCAUCGUUAGAUUUACCCUUUUAAUCAUUUUCACUCGUUAGAUUAUACUAUUCAACCAACCAUCCACUCAAUCCUAAGGGACCACUAUCAUCCAAACUGCACACCUCUUAAUCCAAGAGCUACAAAUCUAUAAGCAGCAAUAACUUUGUACUUUUUAAAGUAUAGGAGCUCAAUUUUUUAUAUAUAUGUUUGUCACGCCUCGGGGUUCUUUUGAAAAUCCUUUUUAAAAAAACUAGCGAAAAACGUAUAGAAUUUUUUUUUUAAACACCUUUGAGAACACCCUGCGGACGUACACAGACCCGCAACAUAGACGAAGAAUUCUUUGUACAAUGGACAGAGUCUUCUUUGUACAUGCACGACAAAGCACUAUAGUACAAAGUCAAGCACACAUAUACAACCACAUAACACAAAUAUUCGAAUGAUCAUUAAAUAACAAUAAUCUCAUAACAAUAAUUAUUUACAUUUAUUCAUUGACAUAAUGUAAGGACUGAGAUUUUUGCAGUGUAGCUAAACUCUCAGUUGACGNGUGGAUUGAGUGAAGAGAGAAGAAAAGAUGGUAAUUGAUUUUUCUUUUUUUUUUCUUUUCUGUUUGUAAUCGGGUCAAAUGGACUGGGUGUGGUGAGUUGAGUAGAGUAAUCUUUUAUUUUUGGUUGGAUUGGGCUUUAUAUUUAGGCAUAAGUAGAUAUUUUUUUAAGUUUUAGCAUAAAUGGGACACUUACUCAAAAAUGUCCCAAACAUGUGUCCCUAUAACCUAAUUCUGUUGUAGUGACUCUAUUGCUGGAUUAGAGCUUGUUUAGAAUAGAAUUUCGACCAGACAAUCUUAUUUUUAUUUUUUGAGAGAGAGAGAAUAAUACUGGCCUUGGGGAGUGCCAGUAUUAUUCGUGAAGAAGAAGGAUGGUUCACUUCGACUAUGUGUGGAUUAUCAGAAAUUAAAUAAAGUGACCAUCAAGAACAAGUAUCCUUUGCCGCGCAUCGAUGAUCUGUUUGAUCAGCUAUAAGUGUAAGGACUGAGAAUUUUGCGGUGUAGCUAAACUCUCAGUUGACGAUGUUUUUGUGUGUAUUUUAAUUACAAAAGCACUCGUCAAGUUUCGGGCGAAAACGAGUUAAAACGGAAAUUCUACGUGAUUUCCAAGUUUCACUUAAAGUGAAUAGUAACUCGAUUUUCCGGAGAAGCCACGGUGUGAAGUUGGCUUCAGGCUCGUAUCGGACUCCGUUCCUAGCGGUCCAAUAGCUCGUUUCGACCGAUUCAGCGGUUCUGGAACUAAUGGCGCUGACGGAUUUUGAGUUCGACGCACGGAUUUCGAGAAAAUCCAAAAAUACAUAUUCUAUAUGUAUUUAGGUGUGUUUUCUUCUGUUGAAAAGAAGGUUGGAUUUUGUCGUAAAUCCGUGGUCGAUCAAGACGAAACGAAAUUGUAGCUUUGUUGUCUCCGUCGUGCUGAUCGCACUGGUGCAAUCCGUUCGCAAAUCUGACUGACGGAUCUGCGGAGAUCGCUCGUUGAUCGAGGAGAGGUCGGUGUAGGGAAAACGGUAUUUUCGCAAAAGUCGCGAUAUUUUAUGUAUCGUUUCGCGAGGGAUCGCACGUGGAGGGGCGUUCAUGCGUUUUAGUCGUACUGUGAGGGUCUCGGAUUGUAAUUCUGAUGUUUGGGGGACCUUUUUGCAUGUUGCACCUUAGUAUUUAUAGCUCUCUAGGGUUUGGAGCCUUGUAACCCUAACCCUAGCCUUGCCCUAGCCCCCAGCCGCCUCCCCCUCCUUCCCCUGCACCUGCUGCGCACGCCCAGGCCGCCGCCGACUGAGCCCCGGCCGGCCAACCGCCGCCGCAGCCNNNNNNNNNNNNNNNNNNNNNNNNNNNNNNNNNNNNNNNNNNNNNNNNNNNNNNNNNNNNNNNNNNNNNNNNNNNNNNNNNNNNNNNNNNNNNNNNNNNNNNNNNNNNNNNNNNNNNNNNNNNNNNNNNNNNNNNNNNNNNNNNNNNNNNNNNNNNNNNNNNNNNNNNNNNNNNNNNNNNNNNNNNNNNNNNNNNNNNNNNNNNNNNNNNCUCCUUCCCCUGCACCUGCUGCGCACGCCCAGGCCGCCGCCGACUGAGCCCCGGCCGGCCAACCGCCGCCGCAGCCACCACUUCUCUCUCUCUCCCUCUCUUUCUCUCUCCCUCUCUCCUCUCGGGUUGUGAGGAGACCCGAGACUGCCGCCACCUUCGGACCCUCCCUCGGUGUCGCCCCGUGCUCCGGCGAUCAUCCCCGCCGACCGCCGCCGUCGCCUGCGCCGCCGCAGCCGCUCCAGCCGCCUACAGCAGCCCAGGCCGAGCUCUGGCCGAGGUGGGUUGCUUCCGCUGCUCGCGCGCCGCCACCGCCUGGGACCUCUCCCGUCGACAUCCCCCGUGCCCGGGCGCCCCUUCCCGCCUGUCGCCGCCGCCCCGACGCGCCGCCGUCGCCGCCUCGGCCAGCCGUGGCCGCCCCAGACCCGCUCGGUCCGAGGCAAGCCCGCGGCUUCUUCCCCGCGCCGCCGCCGCUCGAGGCCGCACUCCUGGCACCCCUCCGGCCUCCUGCAACCUUCCUCCGCCGUCUCGGAGCUUCCCGGCCGCCGCCGUGGCCGUAGCUUCGCUGGAACCCGAGCCGGAGCUCGUACGGGCUGAGCUUGUUUCCCCGAAGCCGCUGUCGCUUCCCGUCGCCAACCGAGGUGAGCACGGAGUUCCUCACCUCCCCCUCACCCGACUCAGGGCCCCGCGCGCGCCGCCGUGCCACCGGAAGCCGGCCGGAGCAAGGUUGCUCCGGCCAAGCCCGAAAUAGGGCUUAUUUGAGUAGGUUUCUUGUUCUGGGCUUCCUGAGCCUCCCCGAUCUGUACGGAAGGGAGCACGAUGAUCAUAGCUAGUUGCUGAUCAUCGUGCUCACCUUGGUUUCUGUCGGGAAGGCCCCGUUCCGCUGUUUUGGCGAUGUCGCUCCGUUUCAGCCUUUUUGGCUGCUGUUUUGGGUUUGCGCACGCUUAUCCGGCGAUCCAAGGCUGUCCUGAUGCCUCCGGAGGUGAGCAGGGUGAUCGUUGGUCAGUGCUGAUCACAGUGCUCACCUCACUUUGGAUCAGAAGUGUCCGGUUAGUUCUGUUCGGCGCGAUCUUCCCUGACUGCGUGCUAUUCGCUGAACCUUCGGGUUGCUCCCGCGCUUCCCACAGCGAGCCGCUGUGCUCCGGAUCAUGAGCACGGACUCCGGUACGUUGAGACGUGUCAGUACGUGUCUCUGCGGAUUCGGAAGUGCUCGGUUUGCGUGAACGAGCCGCUUGAUCGCUCAAAUUACAUAAAAUGAUGAGAUUUUAUGUAAUUAGAGGGUCUUUUAUGCAGUUGUGCUUUGCGUGGCUACUGUGGGCAGUGUGUGGGAGUUUGUAUUGACCGCUGGACUGAUUGUCCAUGGUCCGUUAGCUUUCGCGGAAAUCGGUAGGUCGAUUUCGGUGCGUUUUUCGGUGAAAUUCGCCGAAAGAACGCGGUUUCGGUUCGGAUUCUUUCCGACGGUGUUUGGUUGCUUCGUGUUUUGUCGCUGAGCCUUGUUGGCUGGUCACCAUCAUCAUUUUGUGAGUUCGAUGAUGAUAGGUGAGCGACGGAGGGUUCCGGUGUCGAAAUAGACACUUCCGGGAACCCGGAUUCGUACGAUUAUCCGGCGAUGAUCGUAUUGUUGUGUGACCUCGUGUUCGCUGCCAAGGCAUCCAAAUUGGAGUGCUUUGGGGCAGCGGGUGACUCGUGGCACGAGUCGGUGAGUUUCAGGACACUUAGUGGGUCCCGACGGCGUUCCGGUGUGGUUUUCGGGACUUCCGGCGAGUUACGGUAAUCGGUAUUGGAAAACCGAUCUUCGUGGAAUCGUUUGUGGGGUUGUGGAUACUGUGAUUAUUAGUUGUGGGUUAGAUACUAACCCGGUGGACCCUCUAUAGGUCAUGUCGAUAUUCUUUUGCAGUCAGGAGACAGACGCGACAUCCGUACAGGUGGGUACUUCGAUCCGACGUCGGCACAGUGGUGCACGCUUGGUGACGGUUUCUUACCCUUACUCUUCUGUUGUUACUAUCGCAUAGUAUAUUGAGCCUUGCACUCUUGUNNNNNNNNNNNNNNNNNNNNNNNNNNNNNNNNNNNNNNNNNNNNNNNNNNNNNNNNNNNNNNNNNNNNNNNNNNNNNNNNNNNNNNNNNNNNNNNNNNNNUAGACAUAUAUAUAUAUAUAUAUAUAUAUAUAUAUAUAUAUAUAUAUAUAUAUAUAUAUAUAUAUAUAUAUAUAUAUUUACACACAUUACUAUGAUUCUCUUUCCUACUUUAGGAAAGAAAAUUAUCUAUUUAUUACCUCAAUUGAAUGACUGGAAAUAGUUUCUGACAUUAGAUAUAUACUAUUGAAAGUAUAACCAAAACCAUUUUCUAUGCAUCCUGUAAAUGUUACUAGGGCUUCUCAAAAUCACAAUCAGCUUAAGGCCAAUUAGCGUAUUCAUUGUCAUGACCUAGCUAAGUAAUGCUAAUAAUUUAUUAAACUCAAACCACCAACCAAAAAUAUUUAAACCCCAAUUAUUAAUACUAAAAAUUUUGGUCCUUAUUUUUUCCUAUAUAUAAUUAAGACUAACUAUUAAUAUUAUUAAUUCUUAUAUUUUUCAUACACGAUCGCUUUCUCAUUCAGCGUUUUUCAUAACCAUAUUACACAUUUCUCAUACAAGUAAAGAGCUCAUGCUUCACCGCGAAUAUCUUCGUAGUUAUUCUAUAAUAUAAAUGUAAAUAGAGAAGCAAAGAGAGAUCUUAGAAAAUACAAGAAAGACCGAGUAGCACUAGGCGACAACAGGAAUAACCAGCAACACCAGGUGACAGCUAGAAGAGUCGUCAGCAAAAAGAGUCAAGCGGUGACAGCAAGAAGAGCCAAGCAACAUCAGACAACAACAGGAAGAGCCGAGCGACACCAAGCAUCGGCCGAACGAGCCCAGAGGUACCAAGCGUCAGCAGAAAGAACCGAGUGGCACCAAGCGACAACAAGAAGAGCUGAGCCGCACCAGGCGUCGGCAGAAAGAGCCGAGUAGCGCCGGACGUCAGCAGAAAGAACCAAGCGGCACCGAGCGACAACAGGAAUAGCCGAGCAGGCAUCAGCAGGAAGAGCCGAGCAGCACCGGGCGACAAUAGGAAGAGCCGAGCAGCACUAGGCGACAGUAGGAGCCGUGCAGCACCGGAGAGAGCAGGGCAGCACUAGGCGGCAGCAGGAAGGGCAACACCGGGGGAGCAAUAGGAAGAGCUGAGCGAAACCAAGGAAGGUCAUGCGACACCAGGGAAGAGAUCAUUUAUGAAAAAGGAUAACCAAAAAGGUUUGACAAAUUAAAUGGCCCAUACAUAUUGUUUAAUCUAACAGAAAUCAAGAAGUUUCUCCCUAUAAAAAGGCCAAAUUUGAGCAAAAACUUAUUAUACACUAAUAGUUGUAAUUGCUUCAUCAAUUUGAAUUAAAAAACAAAAACAAUUCACAUUAUUCCAGAAACCUAAAACUAAACAAAUCUACAAAAUAAAAUAAAAAUCCAACGCCAAAUCAAUAGCGAGCCAACCAAAUCACUCGAUUAGGAGAUCCGAUCUUGUAAAACAGAAGAACAAACAUUUCAUCGAACUAUUACGUCAAUCGAUUCCCCCAAAUUCAAGUUCGCAUGUAAACUUUGAUCAAGACUAAAAGGACCGCAAUUGCCGAUGCCUUGGUUACAUGUUGCAACAUGUACAAUCAUCACGACAAUAUUAAAUUAUAGAUUUAGGCCUGCUAAAGUUAGCAAGAAUCCAAUGUUGUAUCAGUAACUCAUACAUAUGUGCGUUUGUGUGCACGUAAAAUGCAGCAAUAAUGGAAAAGGCCGACAACAUAUAAUGACGAUGAUUACACGCAAUACUCACAUGCUGCAAAUCCUUUGAUCAAGUAUUCACCAGCACCAAUUGCACAACAACCAACUACGUACGCAAGGAGCUCGACAGGGAUCCUUUGAUGAAGCCCGGCAACUUGAGACGUACAUUGCGGCUAAUACAACACGGCCAUCAAUCUGCUAGAGGCUUGGAAAUUUAAUAGCAAUAAUAACAUAACCAAAUAAUUAAUAAUACAUUUUAACAUAGCUUUAAGAGGAGGACUAAGUAACAAAAUAUAGAAAAAAUAUCCAAAAUCGUAAGCAGAAGGGCUUAAAACCAACAUAUCUUUAAGUUCAAUACUUAUAUAUAGCUAGCAUCCCCCGUAGAGAGGGUUCAGAGCAACUUAUAUAUAUAUGUAAACUCAUUUGUAGCCUCUGAUUUUUUUUUUUUUUUUUACAAAAUACUACCCAAAUGUACCGUAUGCAUACCACACAAAACCAAGUGGAAAUCUUUUCCGACGCAAAUUUAGGUUACACAGAUAACACAAAAAUUUCACUAAAUAAUGAUAUUAUACACUUAUCCAGAGUUUGAUUAUGAUAUAGAAGGAGAUUAGGAUUUACCUCGACAAUAGCAGCUGGAAGAAGAAGAGGAGGCAAGCGAAGCGAGCAGAGGCAAUGCCAGGGAGGCGGAGGGGAUGCGAGAGAGGAGGAAAAGGCCGAGGAGGAGCCGCGGCCACAACACGUUGCGACGUUUCGGUGGCGGCGACUGCAGUUGGGUCAUCGGGAACAAAUUAGACAAAUUGGACACAUUUUCACAAUGUUUGCUUUGCUUAAGAGUGGACGAAUUGAGGAGAGAGAGAGAGAAAUUAAUACCUACCUUGAGAGGAACAAAUUAAAAUUAGGGCAGACGAGACGAUUUGAAUCUGCAGAGGAAAAGGAGGAAGAGUUGCACCAGCAGAGGUGGCCCUCGCAAGAAUGAGGCGCGCGGAGGAAUUUAAUUAGAAAUUAAGGGAGUCGGAGUCGGAGUCGGAGUCGUCGCCGUCGUCGCAUAGGUAGUAUAGAUGUGGGUUGGGGUGAGGUAAGAAAUUGAAGGGAGGCGACUGGUUAAUAAGGGAGGUCUGCCUGCCUGGAGGCUGGGGCGUUACUGUGGGAGGGGUUUGAACUUUGAAGAAUGGGACGCGCGGUGGGAAGGAGAAAUUCUAGUAUGCAGCGCGUACACCACGUCACCUUUAUCACCGGCCAAUAAUAGCGCGACACCUCAGCAGCCAAUUAAAUGGAGAAGAAAAAUCAAACAGCACUAACGCCGUUUCCCCAGCAAUUUGAAAUUAUCGAAAAUUGGUGCCCGAGUUUUAGCGGGAGUUUUUAAUCUCUCUCUCUCUCUCUCUCUCUCUCUCACAGAUUAGUCCAUGAAAAAAGGGGGGAAAAAAUUUCCAUUGAGAUAACCCAGACACUCUGCUUCCCCGUUGCUUGCCGAGGCCACCAUUGAUGCCACCGUCGCCGACGACGACUCCGGCUGCACCGACGACUUUAUGACGCCAGUCUAAUUGCCGCCGCCGACGUUCUCGCACGACGCCCCUCUUGCUCAGUAAUGCUUACCGACUCCGACCGCGUCCUCCACUUUAAUUUGCUUGCCACCGAGUUCCACUGGCUCCUUCAUAAUUUUCUUUUCCUUCUCAAUGCUCCUUUAUAAUUUUUUUUCCCUUUCCAUCUAAUUUAUAUUCUCUACAUAAGUAGGCUGUACUUAUUGUGCAUGUUUUUCUUUCAAAGAAAAACCUAUUUUUUAAUUCUUAGGAAUGCACCAAGUAAUACUAAUUUGGAUGAAGAUAUUAGUAAAGUGUAUGAAGAAAACCCUCAACUUCAUCGCAUUUUAAAAUUACAGAAUAUUUUGAAACAAUUUUUUUCCCCUGUCAUUGACACAUGCAUCAACUUUUGAUAUUUUGGAUCCAAUAAUUUUAAUCUAAAAAUUAAAAAUUUUACUAAAUUUAGCUAUGAUUCGAUUAAAUUUAUAACUUUAUUUUUUUUUUAAUAUUUUCAAAUUUGUUGAGCAACAUGAGCUGCUAGUUUGCAAGCAAAGUAGUCAAUUAAAAGUCCUAAUUAGUUUUAAUUCGUAGCAUUUUAGCUAAUAAAGUAUGAUAUUCUUUAGCUCUUUUGCAAACUAAAACUCAAUUUUUCUCCAUCAUAGGUUGAAUGGCUGCAUCAAUUAGGAAUCAUGUCAUGGUCGACAAAACGAAUGAUAACAGCAUCUGGGAGUAUAUAAAUAUAGAUGCUUAUGAUAAAAAACUUGAAGUGGGUAUAAUAGUUAAUUCUGAAGACGAAGCUUACAAUCUCUACAAUGAAUAUGCAUUGAGGAAGGGUUUUAGCAUAAGAAAAGGAAACAAACGAUUAGUCGAUGGGGUUCUCCGACAACGAGAAUAUGUGUGCUCCAAAGCAGGAUUUUCUGAUUCUAAAGAUCCUUGUAACUUAAAAGGGAUAAAUCGAUUAGUAACAAGAACGGGAUGUACGGCUAGAGUUCGAUUCAGUAUAAAAAGUGGUGCUUGGGAAGUCACUCAUUUUAAUGAUAUGCACAAUCACGAGUUUGCAAAACAAGAGGAAAGACACAAUUUACGAUCUGGUAGGAGAAUGCUAGAUUCUCAUGCAGCUGUUAUUUCCUCUAUGGUACAAGCAGGCAUAAAACCAAUAAAAUCAUACUCUUAUUUAGCCAAACAGGUUGGGGGGACACAAAAUGUUGGAUUUACUAAGAAAGAUUGUUAUAAUUUCUUGCAUACCGCAAGAAAAGUGAUGAUUGAAGCAGGCGACGGACAAAGUGUCAUUAAUUACUUUAAGCAUAGACAAUUGGAAGAUCCUAUGUUUUUUUAUUCUGUGCAGGUAGACCAAGAGAAUCAAAUGGCAAACUUCUUUUGGAGAGAUGGUAGAUCAAAAUUAGACUAUGAUGCAUUUGGACAUGUUAUCAUUUUUUAUACUACAUAUAGAACUAACAAAUAUAACAUGAUUUGUGCUCCAUUUGUUGAGAUCAAUCAUCAUUGGAAGAAUGUGUUAUUUGGAUGUGCUUUUUUAUUAGAUGAGACCACCGAAUCAUUUAUUUGGUUGUUUGAGACAUUUUUAGAAGCUAUGGGAGGUCAAGAACCCAGGAGUAUCUUUACCGAUCAAGAUCAAGCAAUGGCAAAUGCCAUAAGGAUUGUAUUUCCUAAGUCACGCCAUCGACUCUGCUUAUGGCAUCUUUGGAAUAAUGCUAAAAAACAUCUUGCUGGAAUUUAUGGCAAUUCAAACUUUAAUGCAAAAUUUAGCAAGUGCCUUAGUGGAUGUGUGGAUGAAAUGGAGUUCCAAUCAGUUUGGGAGGAUAUGAUCAAAACAUUCAAUCUUCAAGACAAUGUUUGGCUAAAUAGACUAUAUGAGAUUAGAGCAAAGUGGUGCACUGCUUUGAAUAUGGAUUUUUUUUCUGCAAAAACAAAAUCUACACAAAGAAGUGAGAGCACAAAUAGUGUCUUUCAUCAAAUUUUCGGCACAUCUUUGCCUCUUAUUCAAGUUAUUGAAUGCUAUGAGAAAAAAGCAGAAGAUAUGCGUCAAGGAGAGCGGGAUGAAGACUUUCACUGCAAAAACGGUGCCCCUAAAAGUGUCAUUAGUUAUGGAGGAAUUUUAGAAAAUGCAGCUAAUGUCUACACAAUUAAGCUUUUUGCAAUGUUUAAGGAGGAGUUUCUUGAGGGUGUAGGGCUGAAUUGCAUUGAGGUCAAUGUUGAACAAAAGCUAGUGACAUACACACUCAACAAAUCUAGUGAGAAGAAGGCUUUCUUUGUGAAGUUUGACACAUCCGAUUUUAAUAUCUCUUGUAGCUGUAAGUUGUUUGAGUCAUUGGGAUUAUUGUGCCGCCAUUCUCUGAGGGUUCUGCUUGUGAAUAAUGUAAAUGCUAUACCAACACAGUAUAUUUUGCACAGAUGGACGAAAGAUGCAAAAAAGAGAUUGAUGUGUCAUACUACCGAAUCGUCAAACAAAGAUGAAAAAUCUGCUCGUGCCUUGCGUCUUAGCGAGUUGAACCAUCUUGGGCAUAAUAUUUUUGAUAAAGGCUCAUUGACUGUUGAAGGAACAAAAAUUGUCAAAGACAAGUUAAUGGAGACACUAGAAUUGCUUGAAAAAAGUUUUGGAAGCUUGAAUACAUCUGAAAAUUUAAAAGGAAAAUCAGUUUGCAAUAGUGCAAUUCGUUUUGUUAAUGAUACACAUUCCUCUGAUGAGAAUAUGCAGGUUUUGGAUCCUCCAUGUGUGAGAAAGAAAGGAUUAACUAAUGCUCGAAUCAAAAGUCAGUUGGAAAAGAAGGUUAAAAGGAAGAAAAUGAGAGAAACUAGCCAUGUAUCGCAAUCUCAUCAAAAUCAGAUGUUCAGAUCUAGUUCUAGUACUAUGCCACAACAUGGUGCUACACAAAUGUCUCAGCUCAAUCAAAAACCAAUGAUAUACUCUGGCCAUUUUCAAGGUCCUCAAACUGGUUAUAAUCAAGUUCAGGCACUAACUCCUUUUCAAAUGAUGCAAUCUACUUUUUUCUCAAAUGCCACAAUCUAGUUUUUGAAUAUAUGGUAAGUUCACAAUUUGAGAAUAUUUCUGUAUGAUAAUUUUAGUCCUACUAAAAUAUUUUUUUUCAUAUGCAGGUACUGGGGAAUUCAACUGAAAAUAUAUUACAGUUUUUUAUUUUGAUUUGUAUGGAUAGGCAGAAAAGGAAAGACAUGAAACUGAAGGAGAUGAAAUUGUUACCAAUAGUGGUAGUUUUGUUAAUAUGUUGAGCUAAACAUACAAAUAUACAAUGCUGCAAAAGCUUAUAUACAAUGCUGUCACUUCUAUUUUGUAUAUAAAAUUUUACCUUCAUUUUGUUCAAAUGCGGUUAUUUAAUUCUUUCUUGUUUUGCAAUAAGUUGGCAACUUUGUUGGCGAUCUCAUUGCUUGGUAGCAAUACCUCUGUUCAUAUAUAGUAGGUAGAUCACUUACCUCAUGGAGUUUGAUGAUUAAUAUGGUUAUUGAGCACACAAGCUACUAUUAGAAUUUCGAUAGUCGCCUAUAUCCUCUUCAUUAAUAUGUUUUGUCUAAUUUCUCUCAAUUUGUUCUGGUUGCACUCAUUGCAGCAAGUCAAUAGGCUGCUACUUUAUAUCAACAUUCCAAUGAAAAUGAUGUGGUGUUAUAUGUGCUCUUUUGACAUAAAUUAUUUAAUUUGUCUUCGCAUUGCUCCUUUAUUAAAGAAUUCAAAUUUGAACUAGAAGCUACAUGUAAUUUUUAGCAAAACCAACCAUACUUCAACUUGCAUAAAGUUAAUGCAUUUAAGCAUCGAAUAAAUACUUUUAUGCAAGUUCAUUGUUAGAGUAGUCAUCAUAUAAAAUAGUAACAAAUUAGAUAGAUAUGAACCAGAUGCAAUUAUACAAAAUUGAAUUAUAAUGGCUUGUACCUUCUUUAAUUAUAUACAAUAAGGUUUAUUUUAAGGACUAAUAAAGAAGGAAAAAUAUGAAAUGCGUAAAUUUGAGGACUAAAGUGAGAGUUGGUAGAAAAUUUAGUGGCUGUAGAUACAACUGAUGCAAAUUUUUAUUUAUAAAUUAUCUCAAAGCUUAAAUUAAAUCUAGAUUACCAGAGCCUUUCUUAAAUAACAGAAUAUAUAUAAUAAAACUCAAAUCAAACCAACACUACUAUUGUCUGUAAUUGAAAAAAAGGCAUUUUUUCUAGAAUUCUUACAUUAUGCUUUCAAUUUGAAUGCUUUUUCAUUACAAGUGACUGGUGCUAUCAUACAGAGAUCACAAGAUAAAUUGAUUUUUCUGACAAAUGUAAUUAUUAAGAAAUAAAUUCAAUUCUAAAUAUAAGAUGAAUUGCUAAAAAUUAUUUAAAAUAAUAGAAUAAAUUUGGCCUCUUUAAAAAAAUUUCAAAUAUAGAGAAAAAGAACAACUUUUUUCUUUGAAGCAUUUAAUCAAACAGUUUUUGAGAAGACAAGAUUAAUGGUAUACUUGGAGCUUACAAAAUAAUAAUAUUAAUAUUAACAAUAUAGCUAGAAGAACACGAGUUAUGCUUGUCGAUAAUAGAUGGAGCGCAGGGAGGGCUGGCUUUAGCUAGCAUGCUGCUGUAUCUUCACCUUAAUAGUGAAGAUAGUUGUAAAGGAGAUAGACUUCGUAGUCAAUCUUAUUUGCAAGGGCACACUAUAGUUGGCAAGGUUGGUGGAAUCUUCGUGGCAAGCAAAUUAAAGUGGAGGACGCGGUCGGAGUCGGUAAGCAUUACUGAGCAAGAGGGGCGUCGUGCGAGAACGUCGGCGGCGGCAAUUAGACUGGCAUCAUAAAGUCGUCGGUGCAGCCGGAGUCGUCGUCGGCGACGGUGGCAUCAAUGGUGGCCUCGGCAAGCAACGGGGAAGCAGAGUGUCUGAGUUAUCUCGAUGGAAAUUUUUUCCCCCCUUUUUUCAUGGACUAAUCUGAGAGAGAGAGAGAGAGAGAGAGAGAGAGAGAGAUUAAAAACUCCCGCUAAAACUCGGGCACCAAUUUUUGAUAAUUUUAAAUUGCUGGGAAACGGCGUUAGUGCUGUUUGAUUUUUCUUCUCAAUUUAAUUGGCUGCUGAGAUGUCGCGCUAUUAUUGGCCGGUGAUAAAGGUGACGUGGUGUACGCGCUGCAUACUAAAAUUUCUCAGUGGGAAGAGGAGGUGAGGCAAGACGAAAAUACUGUGGUAGAUCAAACACGUAUGCGGUGGUACGGGCGAGAUCCAAAGAAGACUGCUGAAGAUGAUGCAAUACUUUGAUAAUAGUACUUCUUUUCUUCAGAUAAAACCAUCAAAGAAAAACGAGUGCGUCAAAAAUUAAAUAAAAAUUAAAAAUAUAAAAUCAAGUAAGGCCAAAACCUUGAAUCUACACUGGUGAACACUAUACUAGACGACUAGAAGAUUUAUGCUCCGACAACAGUAUCUCACCCCAGCCAUAGGAUACACAAUUUUUCGCAAGACAAUGCUUGUGAUAGUAAGCCCCUCUUUUGCAAGAUUGUCAAAUCAGACAAAGCAACAAGUCAGCACGGUUUCUACGAUGCAAAUAUAAACACAACAGGGGCAAUCAAAUAGUGAGCAGUGAUACUUAACAGGCAUAGAAUAAAGCAGAAAAUAGAUUUUAUAAAAAAAAAAAAAAAAAGGGUUAACAUCAAGUUGAUUUUAUGUUCUCAUUAUGAUGAGAAUAUUGUAUUACAAUACUAGGUAUAACUAACUUGUUCUAUUCGUUAAUUUCGCAAGCAGCAUAACAUUUUUCGACUUGGUAGCUCCGGCUUUAGUUCACUUGAAGCCCCUCCACACAAGAACGUGCGCGAAUGAGGCAAGAGGCAUGUAUGCUUCUGCAUAUAUUAAUGGAUACUGAGUCAUAAAGUACAUCAAGCAUAAAACUAUAACAAAAGUAAAAAUAUGGAGAAAGAAAAUAAUAUCAAACCUCCAUUGAAAUCAACUAUUUACAUCCUGGCCGGUUGCUGUUCUCUUUCUUCUCCCUGUGCCGACAAACAGGUUUCCUAGAAAGAGUCCACUCAAGUUUUCGUCGAUGCCAACACUUCUUACACAGAAGUGCCCUUCCUGCUUCUCAAGUUUGCAGGAAGCAAUAGCUCCGAGAAUGUUGAAGCUAGCUUAGUUUUUGGAAAAGGGGGUCCUCUUUUUCUUUCGCUAAAAGAGUGCAUCAUUUCAUUCGAUUUUGUGACUAUGAUCCACUUUUUACGUCUUUACAAUUUUGGGCAAAUAUCAUUCUUUAUGGAUGGGAAUGCCCCUAAAGCUCUAGACGAUCAUAUAUGCAUCAGAGAUUCCGCUAAGGCAUACAGGUCCAUAAGAUAAUAUUAUAGUUCAAUGGUGCCAAACUGAAAAAAGUGGAUCAAAGUUCCAAAAUUUAAAAAUGUGCAUGUUUCUAUUGCAAAAUGGUCCCAUUAGAAAGUGAGAUAGAAUGCUCCAACAAUUCUCGGUUUUCCUACGCCUGCAAUACCCCUGCCAGCAAAAUAAUGAAUGGUGCAGCUGAAAUUAUCGGACAUUCCGAUGUAAAUGCUGGCAGGUGCAGGCAUGGCCAGGCCCCUUAACGGGGCCGGGCUAAUCCAAAACUUGCAUCAGGUUGUUGUUGUUGACUCUGCUUUAAAAAUUAAAUAAAUAAAGAAGUAUAAUUCAGAAAAAGAAUUAGAACGAACAAGAUUCAAAAUUAGAAAGAGUUAGAAAGAGCAAGAUUCAAGAAUAUAAAGAGCUAGAACGAGAUUCAAGAGUAAAAAUAAAGCACACAAGGAGACAAUGCUAAUGUCAGUUGACAAAGUCAGGUCAUAAUUUAUUAUACCAGUUGCUAUGAAUAAGUAUAUCGUGAGUGAAACGAUAUACUGAUACCGAAGGUAUAACAUAAAAAGGAUAAGCAACCAAGAGGCCUUGGGGUGUAUAGGAAUCACCAAGCUAUUUCUAAAUUCAGAGAAACUAAAAAAAUGUUGUAAUUAAACUAUCGCAAAUGGAUGGAACACAGAAAAUCUAUAUGCAACUUUGGAGCACUCCACUCCAAUGAAUCAACUAAAUCAUUGUAGCCUUAAAAAGAUCUAGUUCACUACGCAUCCACACAUACCAACUAAUAGAUUGUAGCAUUGAAGAAAAACACUUACACAGAUGUAGUGGUUACAUUUUUGAUCAUUCAAAAAAAAAAAAGAACUGGAACUAGACAUGAACCAACAAGACAGAACAAGCAUAUCUAUAUAACAUUAAAUUAUAAUCAUUUAACUGCACGAAAGACAAAAAUGUACAUGCAUACAUACCCGGACAAAGGGUUGCAUGUGUUCGUUCGGAUGGACAAAAGCCAUUCCUGGGUGUGGAGGGCCGGAAUACUGAGAUGAGUGCAUGUAAAUAGAGGAUGCGGCAGAACCACCAAUAUGAUUGGGAUUAAAAGGUGCCAUCAUGCCUUCGGAAGGUCUAUAACCCAACGGAUUAGGGGUAGGUGGGGCCGACCAUGGUCCAUGAAGAUGCUGAGGAAUAGGCCGAGGUUGCUGUUCUAUAGAGAGCUGAGACCUGUGGCCUGAUCCAAGCUGAGGGAACUCAGUAUUGUAGUUAACAGCAGGAGAAAAAAGUGGUUGCAUGGUAUAGGGACCACCACCAAAUCCAAAACCAGGAUCAAAUCUUUGCAUGUAUCUGAGAAUACAUGGAGCAUCAUUAGUAUGACUUACUACAAGCUGAUGCAAAGUAACACACUGGAGACAAAUCAAUAUAAUCUCUCAAACAUGUUGGAAGUAAACAGGACUCGGACAUUUGACAAACCAAAAAUAAUAGGAUAAAUUACACGUUGGUCUUCAAACUUUAAUUUGUUGCAAUUUCUGGCUCAAACUUUCUGAAUUGUUGCAAUCAAGUCCUACAUCCCAACUCAGUUGGCGAAAUGUUGACAAAUAGUUAAUGUAGAAGUGAUAUAAGAUCUUAAUUAUUAUCGUACAUCAAUCACAAUACUUCUACAUUACUUCUACACCAACAAUUUGUCAAUAUUUAGCUAACAAAAUAGGGUUGUAAGACUUGAUUGCAACAAUUUAGAAAGUUUCAAGCCAGAUAUUGUGACGAAUUAAAGUUUGAGGAUCAAAGUGUCAUGCACCUCAUAGGUUGAGGAGCAAAAGUGUAAUUUACCCAAAAAUAAUAUGAUGACAAAAUGUGAAAAACUACUUUUGUAUUAACAUAUUGAACUUUUGGUUAAAUGGAAAUGCCAGUAUUAAAGAUAUAAUAGUCCAACAAGGACUCAUUGAGUAUACUCUUUAUCCAAGUUCUCUCUCGUCCUACCAGAAAUAAUGCAAAACUUGCCGUUGCUAAGUAUAGUGGUAGCGGACACGUGACGCUUAACCGAUAGAUAAUUUAAGAUAAAAAUUAUCUAUGAGGAGUGUGUGAUCCAAGAAAUAACCAGAUAUGAUCAAGAGAAACAGAGAAGAUAGCAAAAAAUGAGGUAAAACAUUAUUGGAUCGCAUAAUAAUUUUCAUGAUUCUCCAGGAACAUAAAGAUCGAUCACUCUCUUUUUUUUCUUUUUUUCUUCUGGUUUUUAGGAUCUGUCUUGGGGAAAUGCUCAAAACGGCAGUUUGAUAGUAAAUCUUCCGAAAACCUCGAAUUGGUAGAUCCAUUUAGCACUUUGAAAACUUUCAUAUCGUGCAAACAGCUACAAACUAUCUAACGACACAGUAAACCAUAACACUUAAAUAGAAGCGAAAAAAAUUAAAACCAACCUGUCAUAAUUCCUGUCAUAGUCGGGAUCCUUACGAUCCACUUCACGGUCACGAAAGAUUGCUACCCUCCCACCUGCUCUAUAUCUACCGACUGCAGGAUCUUUCUCAUUCGCAUUCUUACUCAGUCUGUUGCCACCUGAACAAGAAUCAUUUAUACCACUUGCGGAAGCACUUUCACAACCUUCAAGUGACAAUUUAGCAUCCGAAGUCAGCUCUAUGGAGGAGCACGGAUCGAGACUCUCAGGAAGCUUUGGCUCAUCAUCUUCUUUAACAACCAUGCUGCUACUGCUACUACUAUUGUUAUUGCUAAAUAUUCGUGCACGUGCCCUGUUAUACUCUUCUUUUCUUUCUUCAACACUUUUCUGAUAAUUUGUUUUCAUAGAAUGGACAUUUGCAUUGCUAGUAUUCUGUGUCCGUCUCUGCGGACGCUGCUUAAUUGCAAGUUUAACAACAGUAUUGUUGUCUUCUUGGGGAAGGUUUACAGGAAUAUCUGCAAGGCGAAUGGGAGGAAAGCGACAUUCUGUAUGUGUUUUUCGGAGAACUACACGAGAACCAGACCCAUCAGAUGAACUACUGUCUGGUAUAGCAACUGACUGAAGAUAAUAAUGCUGAGCCAAACGAUGUGCAGCCAAUCGAAGAUAGGAAGUCGGAAGUGCCUGGAAUUCUAAUUGUUGUUGAGUUGGAUCUCUGAUAAACUUCACGAUAUCUUGUUCCAUCCUAAGAACUGAAAUUGGAAAAUUUUGUUAGGGUGACAGACUAGGAAUCUAGGAUGAAUAAGUGGAAAGCAUGAGAUCACAAUUAUUUUUCUUGAAUACAACUAAUGGAAAACAAAAUAAAGGACAGACAUCUCGCCAAAUUACUAGUUUUGCAUGUAUCACUAUAUUGUUAUCAAUCAGAGAGGGGAGAAACAGAACAAAUGCAAUACUGAAUUCUGAUAAAUAUCCAACAUUAUAUUUCCACAGCUUUAGUUAUUCUUGUUUCCAAAAAUCAAUGGAUAAUUUUAUUUCCCAUCAGAGCUAACAACAUUAUGAAGACACUCUCAUGGUGAAACGUUAAACUCUAAAAUGAUACACCAAGUAAAUAUCCAUUAUCAACAAAAUAUCGUAAUGAACAUGCUUAUUACUUAUUGUUUGAAAAGGCGCGCCUAAGGCGCCUAGGUGCAGGCCUCAAUGCCUCAGCAAUAGCGAGGUGCAGCGCUAUUGCUGAGGCGCGUGCCUCGGGCCUGGGGUGCGCACCUCAGGCGAGGCACGAGGCGCACCUGAGGCGCGUGCCUCGCAAUAUUUAAGUUUUCAAAAAUUUUUUAUUCGAGUUUUCGAGUUGUCGGCGUUUGAAUUUGCAAAUUAUACUUUAACCCGAUAAGAUACUUAAAAAUUAUUAAAAGAAAUCCAAAAAAAAAGUCAAGUUUUCAGAUUGUCGGGUUUUGGAUUUGCAUCAUAUACUAAAACCCAAUAAGCUACUUCAAAAAUCUUGAAAGAAAUCCAAAAAAAACCCUAAAAAAAUUAGCCGCUUGCCCCAUCCUCUCCGUCUCUUGUUCUCCCACAUACUCUCCCUGUUGAGCAUCCAGCAACAAUUGUGCUAGCAGCAGGAAGCAGCGGUAGCAAACUAGCAGUGGCCAGAACAAGCAACCAGCAGCAGUGGCAGCAGGAAAACAAGAAAAAGCAGCAGUGGCAGCAGGAAAACAAGAAGAAGCAGCAGCAAAAACAGCAGCAGCGUCAGCAAGAACAUCAAAUUAAACUAUAUGCAUGCAUUUUCUUUACUUUUUGAUGGUUAUUUUCGAAUUUUUUAAUGUAGAACAUCAAAUUAAAUUAGGCUUAGUCAAUGUGUGCCUCGCCUUCUUGAGGCGCAUGCCUCACAGUGCGCCUCGCGCCUAGGCUCCAAGAGAGCCUUGCGCCUCUCCGCGCCUCGCGCCUUUUCAAACACUGUUAUUACUUGAUGAAAUCUCUCAAGGGACUUUAAUAAUCAUCCCAUAAAUUUAGACUUCUCCGUUUCUGAGGCUAGCUACGAGCAUGAAAUCCUAAACAGAGCCUAGUAGGAAACCGCAAGAAAAGACAACCAGAAAUAAAAUGAUUCAAAGUAAACCUAUCUCAAUUGCAGCAGAAAGUUUCAUAUUUUCUCAACGUCAGCAUAUAAAAUUGUGCACAAUGGGAUAUACAGCAUAAAUAUCAGUCUUCAUGCACGUAGAGCAAAAGCUAGGUUUUUUCUACACACCAGUUAAACCUUAGCUUAGUACAAACAUUUUGUCUAGCUUUAUGUCCUCCCCUACAAAACAUAUUUAAAAAAGAAAAUGUUGUUUUUUGAGGCGCUUCUGUUCUUACCCCCCUUUGUUUUCAAGCUGUGUAGACACUAGCAAAGUUAUCACAUUCCAAAAGGUCAAACAAAUUUCUUACUGAUAAUAGAUAAUUCUACUCUAUAUCCUUGUUCAUAAGCUUCAUUACAUUCGGUCCAAAGUAAAAUUGUCCCCGACGUUUUAAAUUGGGCAUUGAGCUGCACAGAGAAUACCGAUAUCUAAGAACUCGAAGGAUUCAAGGAAGCCCUAAAACUUAUACCUACUUACGGCCGUAUAAGAAUGUAACAUACAUAUCUAAAUUAGAGCUAAUACGAAAGCAACAACUAUUGGAGAUCUUUAAUUAGAGCUUUUGAUCAAAAAUUCAAAGGCACUAACUCGAAAUCCGUUCCCGGGGCUUCUCCAACGCUUCCCUGAGGAACUGAUCAACCUCGAUAACGGCGUCCCCCAAGGCCGCUCCGCCGCGCUCCACAGAAGAAUCCGACAACGUAGCGGGCGCCGCCGCCGCGAGCUCCAGCCGAGAGGCAUCGUCGGCGCCAGGGGCGUUCUUCCCGGAAGAGAGCAGCAAACGACUCACGCUCUCUUCCAAAUCGGCCAUCUCCCACGAGUCGGGAGCGGAAGGGUCGUCGGCGCAGGAGGAGCCCUCCAUAGCAGUGAACGAUCGCCGGUGCUAGGGCUUGGAGAGCGCGAGAGAAACCCUAACCCUAACCCAAAUCGGCACGAGCUCCAUCAAGCGGGGUAGAGAGAUAUAGAUGGAUCUAGUCCUCUAGGGUUUGGGGAUAUCAAAGGGAUGAAGAGAGAGAGAGAGAGAGUUGGGGAAGGAAUCUAGGGCAAGGGCACGAGAGAGAAGAGGGGCAAUUCGCCGUUACCUUUCGGCUACCCAUGUAAAAUUCCGAAAACGCCCCUCCUUAUCCAAAACGGAACGAGAUAUUUAGACGGCUAUUUUAGAAAAUUGCAUGUUCAAUUAUUACCUUCAUGUUUGUUUUAUCGAAACUAACUUUCGAUUGAAGUGGAUUUUGAGUUGAACUGGAGUUCGGUAAAAAUUACUAUUUUUCGUACGUUCAUAUUUAUUUUGUAGUUAUAGAAGUAAAGUUCUAUCAGUUCUGCUAUUUAUUUGGUAGGAAGUGUAUAAUAUAAAAUUAUAAUUUAUAUAUAAAUAAUAAAUAUUUUAAUAAAUAAAAAUAAUAUAAUUAUAUUUUUAUAUAAUUAAAAUUUAAUUUAAAACAACUAAAUUAUUUAUUUAUACAUAAAUUUUAGUAAUAUACUAAUAAAAUUAUAAAGUAAAAAAAUAUUAAAUACUUAAUUAAUCAAUUUUUAUCAUAUUUAAAAUGUACAAACUAAAUAAAAAAUAUAUUAAAACUUAACUAAUCAAUUUUUAUCAUAUUUUAGAUAUAUUAACUGAAUAAAAAAAUAAUUAGUANUAAAUAACAUGGCUAAUUAAUAUUACCGUGCGAACCAAAUACAGAAAUUCCACAUUUUUAGUCAUAGAAUGAAUAGGAAUAAAAUUUUCGGAUAUUUUUUAUUCCUAGUAAUUUUUCAUAAUGCGAACCAAACGCACCCUUAGAUUCAUAAUAACUAUAUAUGCUCAAAUAAAUUAAGGCUUGAGAUAUGAUCCCGUGUGCUUUUCAUCCACGCUCAUCAUACGACCAUGCUUUCCGAAUUGACCAUCGCGAUAAUCAGAAUCAGAGUCACACACGGUGUAGAUUCAGGUCAACAACCAUGCCGCCGAGAUCCGAGUCUCGGUCCAUUCCGCAAUCCGAAUCGUGGUCUAUGCCGUCAUAAAUAAGAGCCCUGCUCUUUGAACGUCUCAGAUCCCAUGGUAUAAGGGUCGGUGUCCACUUCAUAGUUCAUACGACAACAAGUCACUAAGGCACGCUUGUUUCAUCGAAACUAGACUUUGGGUUGAAGUGAACUUUGGGUUGAACUGGAGCUCGGUGAAAAUUACUUUUAUUUCGCUGUUUGUUUCGUAGUUAUGGAAGUGAAGUUUCAUCAGUUCUGCUGUUUGUUUGGUAGAAUAUGUAUAAUAUAAAACUAUAAUUUAUAUAUAAAUAAUAAAUAUUUUAAUACAUAAAAAUAAUAUAAUUAUAUUUUUAUAUAAUUAAAAUUUAAUUUAAAACAACUAAAUUAUUUUUUAUAUACAAAUUAUAGUAAUACAAUAAUAAAAUUAUAAAGUAAAAAAAUAUAAAUACUUAAUUAAUCAAAUUUUAUCAUAUUUUAAAUAUACAAACUAAAUAAAGACAAUAUUAAAACUUAACUAAUCAAUUUUUAUCAUAUUUUAGAUAUAUUAACUGAAUAAAAAAAUAAUUAGUAACAUAAUAAAUAAUUAAAUAUAACUAGCUUUAUCUAUUAUAUUAUUUUAUUAUUUUUUUCACCUCUCUUCACCGUAAUUGACUUCGGCCCACGAUGGGGCGAAGUCAAUUACGCCGUUUGAGGUUAACUCGAUUUUUGACCGUAACUUUUUUACGGCGAACCAAAUAACGGAAAUGGUCGUUUAGGACGAAAACGAUUUCCCCUCCUCUCCACUUCUACCCCACUUCCACCCAAACAAACAUGCCCUAAAGCUUCCUUUGGGAUUACAAUGAUAUAGCCUUAUGUACAAGAAAAGUACGAUAAAAAAAAUAUUUUAUUUAUUUUCAUAUAUAAUAUAUUACAUACGGCAUAUUGCGAUAAGUCGGUUAUGAUAUAUUUUUUACGGUUGCACUAGAGAAUAUAGAAAUAUAUUCCUAUAUGGUUUUACUUAACUCUAUUUUAUCUAAUAGUGUCAGAUAGGUCUCAAUACCAAACUACGCCUAAGAGUUGAGUAGAUUAUUGAAUAGAGUUAAAGAAUGAAGAAUCAAGUCUGAGUUAAGUUUACUAAUAGCAAUUGAUUAAUUGCAUUAUUUAGAAUUAAACUACUAUACUAUUAAUAGUACUAAGCAUUUGUUACUAUUAGAUUGUUGGUCAUUGGAUGAACUGAUAUGCGGUUAGGAUGAUAAUGAUUCUCUAGGAUUGAGUGGGUGAUUAGUUAAAUAGUAUAAUCUAACGGGUGAAAAUGAUCAAAGGAAUAAAUCAAACGGCGGAAAACUCGAUAGCGCCAAGAGCUUGGUACUAUCAAUAAUAUAUAGCGCUAAGAGAUUGGUACUAUCAAUAAUAUAUAGUAGCCGGAUUCGCAUUAUUUAUUACAAACUUUUUUUUCAUAAAUUUUUUAUUUUCUCUUUAAACUUUUUAUUUUUGGCCUUUUUGCAUAAAAAAUUCACUUAUUUUAGACUUUUGCAAAACCGGGUCACCUUUUUCGUUUUUGCAGAUUCGGUACGUUUUUUCAGCAAACUGACCAAAAUACCCUUAUUACUUUUUCUCUUUCUUUUUUCUCUCUCCUCUUUAUUCUCUCGUUCUUUUUUUUUUCACCGAAAAAAAAAAAAGCGAAGGCCAGGCAGGCGUGUCGCCGGAGCACCGCCAGGCGGGCUCUUCUUCUUCUUCUUCUUCUUCCUGCAGGAGCAAUUUUUUUUUUCUCUUUUUCUUUUUCUUCUUCUUCUUCCUCCUGCUGGCAAGUGUCCUAAGAAAGUGUCCUUAUAACCUAGUUUUGUUGUAGUGACACUUGCAUGUACUCAAAACAAAUGGUGCUCAACUCUUGUCCUUUCUCUUUUCUCCGAGAUGGGUGCGGCCUUGUUAGAUGGCGGCGGCGUCAUCGGCGGCGGCGGCAGCGAGAGCAGCGUUGGACACAGACACGACGGCGGCUGUGGACGCAAGGAGACCGGCGUCGGCUUGGGUGGCCACGACAAGGGACACGACAGCGGAUACGGACGUGGCCACGACAAGGGACACGACAGCGGAUACGGACGUGGCGAGACCAGCAGCUUGGUGGUGAGGCCGGCGACUUGAGCGGCGUCGGCUUGGGCAACGUCCGUAGCGGCAACGGAGUUAGACGGGCGGCGGACUGCGCGAUGAACAACGCUGAGCACUUCUCUUCUCCUUUUAUUUUAUUUUAUUUUAUUUUCUUAUUCUUAUUUUUAUUAUUUUUUUUACUUCCCCUUCUCAUUCUCCUUCUUCUUCUCCUUCUUCCUCUCCUUCUUCCUCUCCACUGUUACUUCUCUCUCUUUUUCUUUGCUCACAGUGUGUUUGAGUGGAUGGGUCUGGUCUGUGUGUGGAUGGGUUGUGUAUGUCUUGGUUUCCCCCUCCCUGCUGUGUGCUCCGCUCUCCCCCUUUUAUAGGCCUCUAUUGGACCCAAAGCCCGAGCCCUUUAUCGGCGACAAGACGGGGCACGACCUGCGGCAGGAUCCACGGGAUUUUCGUACGGCAACGAGCUGACGGCGGACGGGUGCGCGAUCUCCGGGAUCUGCGUACGGCGACAGCGAGGUUUCUUGCGGGAUUUUCGGGAUCGGCCGGCGUUGGUGAUGGUGGCAGUGCGAUCUCUGGGAUUCGCGUAUGGGAUGGUGGAUCGGCCUGAGUUGACGGCCGACGGGUGCGGGAUCUCCGGGAUCGGCGUACGGGGUCGCGGGAUCUUCGGGAUCUAGCGGAUUUUGUGGCGGGCUCGCCGGGAUCUGACGGCGACAGCGUGAUCUCUGGGAUUCGCGUAUGGGACGUCGGAUCAGCCUGAGUUGACGGCCGGCGGCGCGGGAUUUUCGGGAUCGGCCGGCCGAUCUGAAGGAGAAGAGUGGGGCGAUCCUCCCCUCUUCGUUUCUUUUCUUUUUUUUUCUUUUUUUUUUAUUUUUUCUCAAUCUCUUUUUUAUUUUUAUAUAUUAAUAUAUAUAUAUAUAUAUAUAUAUAUAUAUAUAUAUAUAUAUAUAUAUAUAUAUAUAUAUAUAUGGGCUUCUUUUGGGCUUUUUAGGCAGGCCCAACAACAUACUUCAAAAUAAUCCCGCAAGGGUUGAGAAAUUAAAAAACUUUUUAGUGAGUAUAGGUCUUGGAAGGCAAGCUACACCAACCGAUAAACAAGGAACUAAGAGCAAUAGUACAAGGUAAAGAAAAGCUUGUUAACACGUACCAAAAAUAAGAAACUAUAUCACUAAUGUCAUGGUGAACUACAUCUAAUAGAAUGAAAGUGAUGUACAGUUUUGCAUUAACCAAAUCAUAUGUUCGUAAAUCAUUGACCCAAUCAUUUUCCUUGACUAGGAGAAGCCUAAGACAACUAACCCUCAGUGCCCUGUCUGAGGAAAGAUAAGGACUAAUGCCAAAUACCCUGUCUAAAAAGAGACCCUGGUGACUAAUACUCAAAUGCCCUGAGUAAGAAGGGUCUCAGCCUAACGUAUCCAAUUGUGAUCACUCUUUCAAAAGAGCUCAUCCUACAAUAAAGUUGAUCAGACUACCAUGCUGGUGAUAGGAGAACAUAGCAUUAAGUGGCGAGUUAGCAUGUUCUAUGGUCAAGAAUAGUAGUAGCGGUAGAAAGUGUUAGAUGUAUGCCCUAGAAGCCAACCAGGCCGACACAUAUAUUCUUUCUAGGACAUAAAUUUGUAUUUGAUUUUAAAAUAUUAUGAAUAUAUUUGGGUCUUUAUUUCCAUUCAUGUUGUGUAUGUGUCCAUGAAUCGUCCAAGGAAUUAAUAAGAUGAUGACAUAUAUUCUCAAGAGUUGAGAAUUUGAGACAUGUGUUAUUGGUGGUUCAUUCCUAAAUGCUCCCGAUCAAUGGAUCAUCACGAGGACGGUUAUUGAUCGGGUGAGAUUGGUGUAUAGGUCGCUUCCCUUUUUGGGUAGACGAGUCUCGAGUCGACAGUGUGGGGACACUGAAGUGAAUAUGAAGGUGGUUGUUAGAGAACAAGGGUACCGAGCGUGACCAACGCGAGAAGUCACUUGGAUGUCUACUCACUCGUCAGUGACUUACUCAAUUGUUGCAGUAGUGUGAUUGGUCCUUUGACCUGCGGUGCCUCGGCUAUUCACAAUGAGGUUACAGUAGUUUGACUGUACAUACACUUGGUCCCUAGCCAUUCGGGUCCUUGCGGUGCAUGUUGGCUGCAGUAGGUUCAUUGUAGGAAUAGGGUGCGCACUUAGAUGAAAUCUAUCUCCCUUGGUAGAUAGGGGUGUUAGUCCUAUGUGAUUUAUGAGACCAAGUUUAGAAGACCUUGGCAAGGGCAGAGUUAAUAACGGAAAAGGGUUUCUGAUAUUAGAAACACGAGUCGAAUAAAUUUAACAUAUGACAGACGAUGGGGUUUGACGAGUUAUUUCAUAACCUCCGUCUAAUCAGGACUCAUGAUAGAAGGAUAGUAUCACACGGUAACUGCACCAAGAGGUUCAGUAUUCAAUUAUACUGGAAUGCCACUACAUACUGCUAGGCGUCAUUGGUGGAUUGUGAGACUCAUGAGAAUUAUCUAGAUGACCGAUAAUUCUCAUUGGGCUGAGUUGGAAUUAUUCCAAUCCACUGAAAGGAGUUUCAGUGAUAUUGUUGAUAGUGAUCAAAAUAUAUCUCACUACAAGAUAGAAUAGAACCUAUGGGGUCACACACAUAAGAGGUUGUGAUUGAUCGGAUAGGUAGAUCGCGAUUAUUGAAUCGCCAGAGGACCUAAUUGUCAAUAUGUUGAUAAUUGGACUAAUUUGUAAUUAUUAUAAAUUAGUGGUAUUAAGGUGUAAAUGUUACAAGAGUGGUCUUCUAAUAGUCAGUAAAUUAUAAGACGACUUAUGUGCAAAUGUUGCAUUAUUAAUUUGAUAUGAUCAAAUUAAUAUAAAGUUCAAGUUGAAUCAAAUUAGGAUUUGAUCGUUCUAACCAAUUAAGGAAAGGAUAAAUUUAAAUCUAGAUUUGUACUUAUCCUUAAUGAUUAUUAUAUUAUUAAAAAGAUGAUUAUAUUCCUCUAUAUGAUAAUACGGGAGUUUUUAGAAAAUUCUAACUGUCAUCUCUCUUCUCCUCUCUCUUCUAUAUUUUAGCAAGAAAAACGUCCUUUUGCAAGGGAGCUAGCACCCCGGUAAGGACAUCGAUCAAAUCAAUAACCUCGUGUGGAUACCUAUAGAGGCCGGAUGUGUGUGUGGCUUCAAGAGAACCCAAUUCCACGAUCAUCAAGUUGAGGUGAAAAUCUAUCCGCGAAAAAGGUAAAGAUUCGAUCUUGCUUUUCUCUUUUAAUCUUAAAGAACAUGAGAAAUCCUAAUUACGUGAUUUUUGAGAUUGGAUCUCGAGAGUUUUCAAAAUCAAAUUUGUUUGAUUUCUUUUGCCGCUGCGUUUUUACCGUACGCAAUUUUCUAACAGAAAGUGUCCAAUACCACAACUAUAAUCACUAACAACAACCGGUCUGGUUAAUACAAGUAAUAAUCUAUAAUGUUUUCAUAAGAAUGAUUAAUUUCAACUACCGUACUUUCUAUGUCAAAAUACUAAAGCGACAAACAACAUGUGUCAAAAUUAAGCAUAUUAUCACAAUAAGUUACAUUGAAUAGUAAUUAUGCAAGGAUUAGAACCUUGGUAGUUGGGCAUAAAGAAGAGAUUAUAAAUAGCUUUACUAACUUUGGAUCAAGUACCUACCUCGAUUUGUCACCAUAAGGUCUACAGCUUAUGUGCAACUCCUCGAUUCAACUCCAAAACUAAGGAGAAUUAGUAUAAAAUCAACACAUUAUAACUUAGGACAUAAAAACCUUAAAAUACAAGUUUGGAUCAAAAAAGGAUUUAAGAUGUUAGUAUCGGAACAUAACCCAAGUUUUGGAACAUGAUAGGAUGUUCUGGAACCUUAUGUUAGUUUUGCAAAGAUAGAAGGUUCUAUGUAGUACACUAAACUUUAGCAAAUUGCGAAGUUCGAGUGUGGGAAUGGUAAUUGGAACUAUUCCACGUCUUUUGAAGGGUUGUAGAGGGAUUUUUGGCAAAUUAGUGGAGCGAUCAAAUGGCUGGAAGCGCAAAAGUACAUUGCAAAAUGCAUUUUCAGCACCUUGCACUGGGUACCGGUACCAGUGUGUUGGGGUACCGGUACCAGAAGCACCAGCAGCAGCAGCUGCGUGGCAGCGAGGCUAUUUUGGUCUUUUCACUCCCCAAGAUUAUCUUUAAACCCCCUGGACGAACCCUGCAGCUAUCCAAAGGGUGCUGGAGCUCAGAGAAAGGGGUUUGCACCUCCCUCACUUUCUCUCUCUAGGUUUUCUCUCUCCUCGAAGUGAGCUUGAGUGAUUUGAGCUCCUUUCCUUUUUCCUCUCUUGUAACCAGCUAUUUUAGAAGGCUUGGAGGUUGUUGUUUGCUAUUGGAGAGACAGAUUUGGAGGUGUUCAUGCAGCCUAAACUCAACAAACCAUUGAGCUAUAACUUGGUAAGGUGAUGGACAUCACUUCUCUCUCUAGUUUGCUACUAGUAGUGGAUUUGAGUGGUUUUGGGUGUCUUUGCUGCCAGCAGGUUUGAGGGAGGGUUUUAACAGCUUUAGAGAAAUUAUUUGCUGUGAUUCUUCAGCCUUAAACCAAGGAUAAGCUGGAUUGAAGUUGGAAGGUGAUUAAUUAGCCACUUUUUCCUACUUAGAUGCUGAAAUUAGUGGCAGAUUUGAUGUCGUGUUGGCGUUGUUCACAGCAGGACAUGUUAACCAUGUAACUGAGUUUCGAGUAACUUUUGAAGCUGGUGUUGCUAAGAUCCUGCAAUUCGAAACCAGGGGAAGAGCUUAACUUAAGCGGUGAGAAGGUAAUUUGUUCAUUACUUGCCUUAUGUGGAUGCUACACUAGGUGUAUAGAUGAAAGUAAUGAUGUUGUCACGCCCCGAACCCGGUCCAAUUUGGCCGGUUCGGACUCGUCGAACAGAAGCCGAACGGACAGAGCCUCCCCCGUGCGCCUAAGGCUUAACAACAGGUAUAGAUAGAGUAAAAUUUGCACAUGCGGAAGUAAACUUAAUGGCUUGCACGAGGGGAAGCGAUAACCACAGUGAAAGUACUAAACUGAACAUCAACAAGUAAUAUGAUUAAAUUUAAAUCACAUACAUGCAUUCAACUUCGAAGUUCUUUUACAAUCUUUGCAUCAUUUCUUUUAUACAUCUCAAAUCUCCAAAAUAAAUCUUUACAUUUAACAUCAUAAAGUAUCGUUAAUACAUUUGCUCUAACAUCCCUAAUCAUCAUCAAAGUACAAAAAAUGAUAUAUAUAUAUAUAUAUAUAUAUAUAUAUAUAUAUAUAUAUAUAUAUAUAUAGAGAGAGAGAGAGAGAGAGAGAGAGAGAGAGAGAGAGAGAGANAUAUAUAUAUAUAUAUAUAUAUAUAUAUAUAUAAAAGGGGUAUGCAACUACAAAAUGUAAAGUAUCUCGGGUAGUCUCUGUCUAGGGCACGAUACCCUUACCGCGAUCGUCUGCCGGUUCGCUCGGUCCCGGCUCUGUGAAAAUAGUGGGGUGAGAACUACAACAAAGUUCCCAAUGGGUUCGGUAACCAACCACGCCGACUUUUCCACUAAGUCUAAAUCAGGCAUAAUAGAAGAAAAGAGAUAUAGAUAGUAACCGAACUAUACAAAUGCAGCUAAUAUGCCUGAACAAUAAUCGAUGUAAUGCUCAAUAGUAUGCUCAUAAUGAAUGCAAUAUCACAAUCUCAUUGCCCAUUCUCUUGGCUAACCCGUAGGUUUCGCCCUCAACAAACUCACCAACCCAAAUCCCUACUAUCGGGGAGAUACCCGCUACAACCCAAUGGGACCGUCCUUUGGGAAGAUACUCGCUACAACCCAGUGAUGACAACUCCGGAGUACAUCGCCCAAGGGGGAGCUACCGCCCUCGAGCAAGAACUAUGGGUGAGUACGAUUAAUCCUUAACUUUAAGGAUUUCAAGUUCAAUCCAUUUCCUCGCUUUAAGGAAAACCAUGCUCAUAUGACCCUUAGCUCAAAGGUUGUUAUAUCAUAAUGUCACUAUCACACAUUUACUUGCAUUCUUUAUUUUCACUAGUGUCAUAUACACUACUUGUUCAUGUACCCACAUACUCAUGUCACACUUGUUUUCUAAGUGUUCAACUCUAGUGUUCUUGACUCAUUCAUGUCACUUACUAUCUUAAUGUCAAUCAUGUCAUAUUUGUUCUCUAAGUCCACUAAGUUCUUGUCAUUUAUCAUGCAUACAUAGUGUUUGUUAAUUCUCACUUUCGUACUAGUAUUUCACAUGCAUUUGAUCUCACAACAUGCAAGGAAGCUCACAAGUAAUCCCUGUCGGAUCGUUGGCGCUAACCAUUAAUCCCAAAAGCUCGAGCUGUUAGAAAUACGCAACCAAUUCACUUAAAGCGUACAGAAACAGUGCCCAUGGGUCUCGAUUGUGACUCGGCCCACCUGGCCUCACGCCACUUCGAAUAUGACUCGGCCCAACCCAGCCUCACGCCAUUUCGAACAUGACUCGGCCCGCAUGGCCUCCCGCCACAGGGCAGAAUGCUGGCCCAUUUAAGCCAACAAUACUUGUCGGAUCGUUGGCGCUAACCAUUAAUCCCAAAAGCUCGAGCUGUUAGAAAUACGCAACCAAUUCACUUAAAGCGUACAGAAACAGCACCCACGGGUCUCGAUUGUGACUCGGCCCACCUGGCCUCACGCCACUUCGAACAUGACUCGGCCCAACCCAGCCUCACGCCAUUUCGAACAUGACUCGGCCCACAUGGCCUCCGGCCACAGGGUAAGAUGCUGACCCAUUUAAGCCAACAAAAACAUGCUUAUCAUGUAUGAUUAAGUGAAAUCUCUAUGUAGUAGAGAAAAAGGGAUUUUGGAAAUAACUUAUUCAGCAUGCUUAUAAUGAGAUUAGUAAAACUUGUGUAAACAAGUUAGAUACUGCAUCAUUCAAUAGAGAAUUAGGGUAAAGCUAUGAAUGUGACACUUAGUAUAGAAUAACAACUAAGUGGAGAAUGGUUACGAUAUUUAACUUUUAAGUUAAAGGAUGCUAUUCCAUGUUAUAGACAUGAUGACAGAAUUGCUAUGCAUAUGGCAUAUAACAAGAUUAUAUCUUUAUAUUGUGAAUUGAAUUAUUGAAAAUCACAUGUAGAAUACCAUAUAUGAGGUUUUGUAUACUUGUGUAGACCAGUUGUUCAUGAACUUUAUGCUAUUGAAAUUGACCUAGUUAAAUAACUAGAAUUGGACAUAUGAUGUAAAUUCUGACCUAUGGGUCGAGAGAUGAAAUACUUGCAUAAUCUAACAAAGGUAUUUGCAUAAUACUUGUUUACUUCAAGUAGAGGGUUAGAAAUGUAGAGCAUAUGCCAUGAUAUUAUAUGAAUAACAUAGUGAGUCAGUGAUUAUGGCUUGAGUAAACCACUUUUCCUAUGUAUAGGAAGUAGUGAGAGGACUAUAUGUGAGUAUGCGGAUGUAGCCGAUAGAAUCAGCAUUAUGAUGUAAAGCAUGUACUUAUUUAAGUCAUACUAUCUAUUGGUAAAACACGUCACCAAGUAGUUGAUAGUGGAUUAUGACUUAGUGUUAUAGUGUCGACUUUGUGUCAAGUUGAGAUUCCAUGUUAGAGACAUGAUGAACAUAAGAUACCUAUGCUAUGGAUUACGCUUGCUUGCCGUUGUGCUCAUUCGCACAUGCUUGUGAGGGUCGCGCCCCACAAGCCGGCACUCCGAAGUUAGCCUAGCGACAGAUUGCUCGCUUCUGUACGAGACUGAGCGCCGAAGUGAAUUGCCAUGGGUAGUGUUGACUUCAAUGGGGCCAUUAGUCAACGGCAUGAGCCGGGACUUUACCACGUGUAAGUCUCUUGUUAAUUGGGUUAACAUAAGUGAAUGUAACCUUAGAGGACAUAGUAGUGAAAAUACCUCAUGUCAUUAGUUGAGAUAUACCUAGUAAUGAACAUACUAGGAAGUUGACAUUCUUAUUAGUCAUUAAUGGUAAUGAUAGUAUUUGUAAGUGUACACUUUUGAUAGUGUAGGAAAUAGCUAUGUGAUGUUAUUAGCUAGUUAAACCAUAAUGACAACAUGUUGCAUGAAUCAUGACAUAUAGUGUAAAGAUACCAUUGUAACUAGUAUGAAAUAUCAUCUUGCAUAUGCAAAGAUUAGGAUGUAUGACAUGUUAGUAAACAUAUCAUGUGAAGCAGGGUAUAAUUGAAUUAUUGCAUCUUAUUGCUGUAUCUACUUGUUCUAUUUAUUAUAGUUUACUCGUGCUUCAGUUCACCUAGUGGUGUACUUCGCCACUCUUUGUAAUGUACUGAAAGUUAAUAUAAAAAUAAAUAUAAAUAAAAAUAAUGUGAGAUAUUAUUUUUAUUUGACUUAGAGAAGUAAAAUAUAAGUCUGGAAUGACUUGUGCUGAAAUUGGAAUGAAAACAGAAGAUUUAGAAUUUUCUGUUGGAAACGGGGCUGAUAUUUUAGCAGAAAAUACACAAUGUCAGAAAAUUAUGAAAACUGGAGGAUAUGUCAGAAUUAUUUUUAUGAGGCUAGAUUUAAAGUUUCAUGUCAUUCUGACACUGGGAAAGUGAAAAAUAAAAUCCGACUGUUAUCUGCUAGAGAUUACAGUUCGGUAGAGCUUGCGUGACAAAAAAUGAUCGAAACUGAAAAGUUAAGAUAUAUUCAGUUUUGUUAAGUUAAACCGAGUCUGACUAUUAAAUUUGAGCGUAAACGAACAUUCAGAAGGGCUCCAACGACUCUGAACUGCUAAACUGAACUGGAGAUGCAAAUUGUAAUAGGUAAGAGGGGUUUUGUGCAAUUGUUACAGCACCUAUAGGUGGCUGGCUGCAUGCAUACACACACACACGCACACACCUUCUCCCUCUCCCUCACACUUGCAACCAAGGAAAACUCUCUCUCUCUCUCUUAAGGUUGGAACCAAGAGAUGAAUUUGGUGGAGAUUGAAGCUUGACGGUGGAUUUUCAUCUUCAUCAUUUUCUUCCUCUCCAUUGGAGCUAGCUUGAGAGGUAAGCUUUGAUGCCCUUUAAUGGUAGAAUUUUAGGGCUUCAAUUAUAUGCUCUAAGAAUGAAUUUACUAGAACUCCUAGAUACUGAAUAGAGGAUUAAUGCUUAAAUUAUGAAGCUAAAUGGUGAUUUCUUGCAUAGUUGUAAUCUAGGGCUCCAAAAUAGAAUUUUUGCUAGUAGAUAGGUUUGAUCUAAAUUGAACCUAUAUAAACCUAAUUGCUAGGUAUACGAACGCGUUCGCGAAGUCGGUUCGGCGAUUCGUCGAGCCUAUGCGAAGAUAUUGAAGAAACGGUGUUUUUGGCUUCGCUUCUGCCUGGAGGGCCGAGGUGGUGUCCAAAAAUCAUGAAAGUGGAUCCCAAGCAUCGUGGCAUCAAGCUGUAGACCUAUAAUUUUAGGAUUGCGGAUUGGUGGCCGUUUGGUGGUCGAGUCCGAGUUCGAGCCAAACCGGGUGGCGGGUGCCGCGGGAGGCCGAUUGCAAGUGGCUACGAGCAAUCGGAACGCGAUAAUAGGUGGGUUGUGCUUGCCGAAGCGACUAGAUCGCCUAUAUGUCGAAGAGAAAUGUGCUUUCUCGUUGAUGCAUAUACAUAUGUGAUAGCUACCUUGGAUGAAUAUAUAUGCAUGUUAGCAUGAUUAGAAUAUGUGCAUGAUGGCAUCAUGAAUGUGUUAAAGUAUAUAAAUAGAAUGUAUACUAGUGGAUAGUUGCAUGCUGAUGCAUUGAAAAUACAUGCUAGAUGAUAAUGGCAUAUUAGCAUUAUGAGAAUGCAUACUAGAUGUAUAUGCAUGUUGGUUUCAUAGUAUAUAUAUGCUAGAGAGAGAAUAUAUGUAAGCAUGAUAGCCUCAAGUGAAUCAUACUAUAUGAUAGUUGAAUAUGCUAAUGGAUAAUUGCACAUUGAUGCAUUGAGAAUAAAUGCUAGUGAAUAGAUUCAUGUUGACAUGUGCUAGAACAUGCUAGGGCAUAUAAAUGAAUGUUAACAUAUUGUUAAUUAUGUGAGUUUAUGAAGCAUGUGAACAAAGUGAGCAUAUUGCUAGAUUAUGUAAAUAGGCAUGUGGCAUUUAACCUAGUGUCGUGGACCUAGGGUAGAUCGAGUGGCAUUAACCUAGUGUCGUGAACAUAGGUUGAACAAGUGAACCUAGAAUCAAGAUCUAGGUAGAUUGACAUCGAACCUAGUGUUGUUAAACAUAGGUUGACAUCGAACCUAGUGUUGUUGAACCUAGAGUUAAUCAGACCAAGGUGGGUGGCAUUAAACCUAGUUUAAAGAACAUAGGUUGUGGAUUGAACCUGGAGUUAAAUAAGCCUAGGUUAUGUGAUAAGGGCAUUAAACCUAGAGUCAGCUAGACCUAAGGUGGAAAGUGCAUUGGACCUAGAUAGGUCGAUACUAUAGGGUUUGAGAUUACCCUAGAAACUUGGAAAGUGGAUUCCGGAAUCCUAGGAUUGUGCACUCGAUAGUUCUAGAGCAGUGGGUUGAGUGUGGCAUGUUCUCCUCUCACUGGAUGAACUUCUAGGAUGAGCUUAUGGAAGAUUCUUGGCCGCGGGUUGAGUGUGGCAUGUUCCCCUCCCACCGGAAGAAUCUUGAAUCACUAAGGUUGAGUGUGGCAUGUUCCCCUCCCAUCGGGAAGAUCCCUGACCACGGGUGUACGCAGCUCUGGGCGACCCGUUGGGCGACGUGAUUAUGGAUUGAAGUGAGGUGCAAGUGAGGGUUCCUCCACCUCGAGCCGGACAUAGCGCGGAUUAUCCGCAAUUGAUUGACUCGAGGCCGAGUCGGGUGGCUAGCUUGAAUAAGAUAGAUGGAACCUUAAGGGCUAGUGGUACAUAGCAUGGAUCUAAGGUAGUAGAACCUUAGAAGCUAGUUGGUUGUGAGCUAGUUGGUGAGAUAGAAGUAGGAUUGGUAAAUCUACUUAUGAUAGUUGCAUUCUUGCAUGAUUCGCAUAUAGCAUGACAUUGUUGCAUUCGUGAGGCAAAAGCAUGUAUAUGUUAGUUGCAUUUCUUAUGAUAUUAUAUCUAUCUGUGGACUAACAUGUUGUUUGCCUCUUUUGGACCUGUUGGUUGAGCUUCUCCCUUGGGUGGCCGUACCCACCGGGAACUAUGGAGUUAGUUCUCACCCCACGUUGCGUUGGGUGUUAUAGAUUCGCACGUAAGCGGCGCGUCGGCGUGAAGAAAGGGCGUAGCUCCAUAGGUAGUGCCCUACCCCAGAGACCAGAGAUAGAAGUACCUCGAGUUGGCAUAGCCUAGGGGUGUUAAUUGUCAAAAGAAACAAAAUGUAUCCAACUUGCAAUAAUUGUAGUAAUUCAGAUUGUAUUUGGAGGUUAAAAAUGUAAUAUGCAAUUGGACGUAAAAGUUGAAUGUACCUAGUGUGAAUGCUUGUAAUAGCAAGUAGUUUUAUAUUUUUGAUACUUACUUAUGCAAUCUUUGAUUGAAAUGUGUUCCUGGUUGGAACUUCAUACAUUGUAUUGAUUGCGACGCCUAGAACGUACAGGGGAGACUCUGUCCGCGGUAUAGGGAAAACCCUGUCCGUUCGUAUCACGCUCCGGGGCCGAUUUUAAAAACCUUUUUAAAAUCCAUUACUAUUUUGAAAUCAGAGUUGCGAAAAACGUGCCCUUUUUUUUUCAACCUGGCCCACGUGACAUACAGACCCGCCACAAAUACAAAGUUCAUCUGUCCACUCGGACAGAGUCUCCUUUGUAUUUGCACGGCGUACCAAUAGCUACAUCAGGGUCUCAACUACAAUCUACAAUUACGAAUCAACAACCAUGUCAAGACCCGCGACCACCCGCCUAUUUGGCCGAGGUCGCGGCGCCGCCGACAGACCGCCGAACGGACAGAGUCUCCCCUGUACGUCCUAGGCGUCGCAAUCAAUACAAGUACAAGAAGUUCCAAUCAGGAACAGUAUUCAAGCAAGAUUGCAUAAGGAAGGUAUCAAACAACAUAACACAUCCUAUGUUAUUACAAGCAUUCCCAUUAGAUUCAUUUUUACAUCACAUUACCAUUAUUACAUUACAUUUUCUUCCAAAUACAAUUAAUGAUCGCAAUAUUAUUACAAGUUUGCUCUUUUUUUUUUUCCCUCUACCCCUAGGCUAUGCCGACUCGAGGUACCUCUAUCUCUGGUCUCUGGGAUAGGGCGCUAUCUAUGGAGCUACGCCCUCGCCUUGCGCCGCCGCGCCGCUCACGUGCGAACCUGUAACACCCCAAAACAACGUGGGGUGAGAACCAACUCCAUGGUACCCAGUGGGUACAGCCACCCAAGGGAAAAGCUCGACCAAUAGGUCUAAAGAGGCCCUGCAACAUGUUAGUCCAACAAAUAUCCAACAGAUAUAUAUAUAUUCAAGUAUUGAAAUACAUGUUGUGCCUCACAAUAUGCAGUAUGAAAUUCAUGUAGUUUACGCAACCAUGCAACCAACUAGUAGUUCAAUCGAUACUAUUUUAUUCCUGUCAUUCACGGUUCAACAAAUUGACUUCUAAGUUUUCCUCUAUUUUAGAUUCUUGUCAAUUACAAUUCUGCUCAUAGGGUUUAACCUGCUUUUAUAAGCUAUCCACUCGACUCGGUCUUGAGUCAAUCACACGCGGAAUACCGCACAAUGCCAGGCUCAAGGUGAAGGAUGUCUCACGUGCACCUCAGCCCUAAAUCCACUCAACUAGGAUGCAACUAAAACUCAUGUAAUGCAUCAAAUAGUAAAGGUUUACUAUUAUGUUAACGAAUUCAAUCCAUGUUCAAAUAAUAAUGUUCAAUGACAUUAUUCACUGUUCUUUUACCCAAUCUGUAGUGAAGCCCUAGGGUUCGCCAAGAACUCACCUUUCAAUCCCAAAGUGGGGAGGGAGCUCCAAGUGCACCCAAGCCUGGGACCGUCUGCGGACCUCCAUGUGGUCCGGACCUCCAAGUGGUCCUAGUCGUGCGACACUCCGGAGUACUCGACGACAAUCCCCUCCAUGUGGGGAUUGGAUGGCUAUACCAUCCCAAACGCAGACUGUGAGCUAAAUCUAUCCUCUCCAAGUGAGGAUACCCUACAACUAGGGUCAACAACCCAAUCCAAUCCUCUCCAAGUGAGGAUGCUCUAUAACUAGAGUCAACAACCCAAUCCAAUCCUCUCCAAGUGAGGAUGCCCUACAACUAGGGUCAAUAUCUCAAUAACUCAUCGACCACUUCUUCAUGUAAGGGUACUUAGGUUUACUAAGUUCUUUAUCCACAAGGCAUUUUCUAAGGGAUUCACCUAUCCCUAGGUUCUCAAACCUCUAAUGUCAAAUACACUACAUUAAUGCCACUCGAUGUGUUCUUGUUUUUCAAUGUCAAUUUCUCUAAUCGACCAAGUUCAACAUGCAUAAUUCAUCCACUAUGUUCCACAAUAUGGCAACAUGUAUAAUUCUUCUAUCAUAUGCAAUAUAUGUCAUCAUGUAUAUGUUUCUAUUUAACAUAAUCCACAAUAUGUUAAUUCACAACAUGUCAUCAUGCACAUUAUAUGAUAUGUCAACAUACAUUUAAUCAUCAUCCAAAGUAGUCUAUACUUAGCAUCUCAUGCAUUCUUUUACCAUUUAAUUCAUUAUACAUUUCAUCUCAUUGGUAGGUAAUAUCAACUACAUAAUAUGUUUCAAGCAUUCAUAUUAUCAUGUAAGCCUACCAAUACAACUAUAUGCAUCAAUGUGAACUCGUAUGUUUCUUAAACAUAAAGGGCGACCUAGUCGCUUCGGUAAGCACAACCCACCUCAUUUCGCAUUCCGAUUGCUUGUUGACACUUGCAAUCGGCCUCCCGCGACAUCCGGUGCUCGGUUUCGCCGGAACUUGCAAUUGCGCACCAACCACGCAUCGCUUCGCAACCUCGGGCAAAAAGGGUCUUCGUUUUGCUGUUACGGUGCUUCAAAUCCGUUUCCAGGAUUUUACGACGUCGCCUCGGCCCUCCAGGCGAAAACGAAGCCUAAACGUCCGUUUCUUUAAUAACUUUGCACCGGCUCGACGAAUCGCUGAACCGUCUUCGCCAACGCGUUCGUUCACCUAGCAAUUAGGUUUACGGAGGGUCAAAUUAGAUCAAACCCUUAUAUUUUACAAAACCUCAUUCGGAGCCCUAAUAUGCAAUUAACCUCAAAAUAAUCCAAAUUAAAUGGAUCAACAUGCUAAAAAAACUCAUUAGAGGCUAUUAGAACACUAAGCAUUAAGGAUUAAGCCAAAUCCCAAAAGCUUAUCUCAAUGUGAACACCACAACGAGAACACGCCGCUCCAACGGCCGCGCAAAAGCUCGAUCCGUCGCUCCCAAUGCGUUCGCAAGCAUCAUCUCUACCAACCCCACGAAUUUGAGCAAGAAAUAUAGAGAAAUGAGAGAGAAAUCUAGAGAGAGAAAGAAGCUUUCUCUCUCUCUCUCACCAUGCGCACGAGAGGGUGGUGGGGUGCUGGUCGGUUGGGGAAGAAGAAGCAACAUCUUCUUUAUAAUACACCCUAAAACACUAUUCACUUCAGGCAGUUUUUGCAGUUCAGAAUAGUUUGAGCCCUUCUGAAUGUCCGUUUGAGCUCAAAUUUGACAGAGAAGCUCAGUUUAACGUACUGAGUAAGAAUAUAUUUUAAGUUUUCAGUUUCGACCCCAUUUGGUCACCGAAAACUGUACCGAACUGUAAUCUUUAUCAGAUAGCUGUCGGAUUUUAUUUCUCACUCUACGGGUGUCAGAAAAGUAUGAAACUUUAAAUCUAGUCUCAUAAAAAUAUUUCUGACUUAUCCUCUAAUUUUCAUAAUUUUCUGAGACUGUGCAUUUUCUGCCUAUUUAUCUGUCCCGUUUCCAACAAAAAAUUCUAGAUCUUCUGUUUUCAUUCCGAUUUCAGCACAAGUCACUUCUGACUUAUGUUUUACUCCUCUAAAUCCAAUAAAAAUAGUAUCUCACACUAUUUUUAUUUAUUUUUAUUUUUAUAUUUAAAAUCCGGUAUAUUACAUUCCACAGCAACCUUAUCGGAACCAUAAUGGCUUUCCAACUAAAUGUACACCGUAACUUCAUAAUUUUAGAAGUCCGGUACCUUACAAACCAUUUCAUGAUAUGCAUUUUCAUACGGCUAACGAUCAUUAGAGAUGAUGCAUGCCUCUAAGCACUCCUUAGGCGCCGGAUGAUGCAAUGCAUAGUACAACAAUCAUUCUAUUUAAAAGUGCUCCCCACUUGGAAGUUUUGUUUUUAAACUCUAAUUCAAUCAUCAAUGAAAAUCAUUCGAAAACCUUUUUAAAAUUGUUUCCCACACGAAAACUCUAUUUUAAAAAUCAGCUACCUCGAGGGGUAGAAAACCACGAUGCGUAAAUCCAUAAAUACGAGAACCAAAAACCACAGAUCUGAAAACUCCAAUCUCAUGCAUCAUAGUAAAUCAUCCACUAAAACCAAUUCACGAAUAUUCAAACAUCAAUAUGAUCAUCUAACUGAACCAUUUAUUAUUAAAAUUACUAAGUGCCGAAAUGAAAGUAACCAGGGUGACGGUUGCUAUAUCAGACUAGCUAGAUCGUCCCCCCGUCGAGCCCAAAAUCCAACUCCUCGUCCAUGUCACCUGGGGGGGAUGGGGGUUGAGAAACUGCAACCAUGGUUUCCCAGUUGGUACAACAGAGCCACGAAGGCAAGCCGUAAUCAUCGAAACCAAAGGAGAUAGACAAAUAAGUAUAGAUGCUGAUAUACGAAAACGAACUACAGUAGCUAUAAUAGAUAUGAACAUGAUAUACAAGCAACUACAGUAGUAAUAGAAACAGGAUAAUAACUGAGUAAGAACGAAACUACUACUGUAACAAAAACUCAACUGAACGGAUGCCUCAAGGGUAAAUAGUCCAAAAUCAAACCCAAUCUAAUGCUGCUAUAUUAGUCCACAGACCUCAAGCAUUGCUUGUCACAGAGCAGACACUGCCAACUUAUUUAUGCGUCACCGACGACCUAUCCGGAUACGUACACCCUUUGGUUGGUGGCCAAACCAACUUGGUGUCUAGAAUACACAGUGUUUUGACUAAAUUAUGCUGAUAUACUCAAAACGAAAACCAGCAAAAAGAGACCGGUGCCUUGGCCGAAGCCAGAUGUAAGGGCGUACAAUGCCGAACCACAAUCAACCAGAUCGAAACACACGACAAGGAGUCGAUGUGUCGCCUGGACCCAAGGUUCACAGAGAUACAAUAUAUAUGCAAUCUGCUCUACAUGUCUAUCCACAACUAUCCAAAUGCAAUCAAUGAGAUACGAUAAACAAACGAUAAACAAUCAACUGACAUGUAGAGACUACGAUACUGAUAUGAAAGAACAGAGGAAUGGUGAAAUGAUCUCACCGACUACUAGCUCGAAGCACCCACCUGUCACUGUCGCGUCGGAACACUGAGUGCGCACGGAGUCUACCGGACCUAAGAAGAUCCACUAAGUCAGUAUCCAAACCACUAACCUGAAGUACACAACUCACAAACCCCCACACAAGUCCCCGAAUCGGUUUUCCAAAACCGAUCACCGUAACUUACCGGAAAUCCCGAAAACCACGUCGCGACGCCGUUGGGACCCACUAAGUCUCCCGAAACUCAUCGUCUCGUGUCACGAGUCACCCGUUGCCACAAAACACUCCUGUUUGGAUGUCUUGGCAGCAAACACAAGAUAACACCACUACACAGUUAUCGCCGGAUAAUUGUAUGAAUAUGGAUUUUCGGAAACGUCUAUUUCGACACCGAAACACACCGUUGCUCACCCAUCAUCACCGAACCCACAAAAUGACAAUGGUGACUAGCCAACAACGCUCAGCGACAAUACACAGGAUAAACAAACCACGUCGGAAGAAAUCCGAACUGAAACCGCGUUCUUUCGGUGAAUUUCGUCGAAAAACGCACCGAAAUCGACUUCUCGAUUUUCGCGAAGGCUAUUGGAUCAUGGACAAUCAGUCCAGAGAUUACCACACAAGAACCAAUAAAUAAUGGUGUUUUGUGGCAGCAGGUGACUCGUAGUAUGAGUCGGUGACUUCCGGGACAGGUCAUGGGUCCCGGCGAAGUUUCAGUGCGGUUUUCGGGACUCCCGGUGAGUUACGGCAAUCGGUUUUGGGAAACCGAUUCCCAUAGGUUUAUUAGUGGGGAUUGUGAGUUAGUGCUUGGUGAUCAUGGGUUGAACACUAACCCGGUGGACCCUCCUUAGGUCCAGUUGACGUUUUUUCGCAGUCAGGAUACAGGCGUGACUUUCUUACAGGUGGGUACUUCGAUCCGAAGUCGGUACAGUGGUGCACGCUCGGUUGAACACUAACCCGGUGGACCCUCCUUAGGUCCAGUUGACGUUUUUUCGCAGUCAGGAUACAGGCGUGACUUUCUUACAGGUGGGUACUUCGAUCCGAAGUCGGUACAGUGGUGCACGCUCGGUGGUAUCCUUUUACCCUUACUCUUUCGUUAUUAUUAUUGCAUAGUACAUAUAUUGAGCCUUGCACCCUUGUUGUUCUAUUAUACUCUACUCGUUGUUUGCAUGCUUAGUAUCCUGAGUAGGAGUAGAGUAGCAUUAUCUACACUUGAUAUCUAUAGAUCUAGUUGGUCGGUUCUGGUAUCUAGUACUGUGACCUAUUCUGUCAGUUCCUUGACUUCUGUUGUUCGAUGACCUUUGAGGUCGGUAUACCCUGAGGGGUGGGAUUGUCGGUUAGUUGCCGACGGAUGAUUAUAGUUUAAUCAGAUCCACUAUUUGACAUGUUUACGAUCUAGUCAGCCAGUUCAUGACUUUCAUUAUUUGAUGACCUUGAGGUCGGUGUACCCUGAGGGGUACGAUUGUCGGCUAGUGGCUGACGGUAGUUCUGGAUUAUAUACUCUGGUGACUUGUUGAUCGGUUCUUGCGUAUAUACUUUAGUUGACCUAUUGAUCAGUACUUGCAUACUUUUGGGGGGAUGUUAAGUUGUUCCAUUUUAGUUGACCUGAGUGGUCGGUUCUUGUGCUUCCAUACAGUUUGAUGACCUAUUGGUCGGUUUGCCCCGAGGGGCGGUGAUUGUCGGCUGGUUGCCGAUGGUUGGCCAUUGAGCAUAUCAGCAUUGAUAGCCCGAAACUCGUUUGCAUUUCACGAACACCGGCGGUCUGAUCCACCGCGGCUAGGUGUUCUUUUCCGGAAAAGUGGUUGCAGGUGUGAACCCGUGAGCUCAAGAGGGGUUAUAUGCAUGGUAGAGUGGCAGUGGGCACACGCUUGAGACCUGUGGUGCGAACCAAGAGAGCACAGAUUUCAGAUUGGGUAUAUUUGGACUUCUCGUCCGGUUGACGUAUAUAGCUAUAGUAGCGGUUGUUGCAUGUAUACUUACAGUUCUUUCUUUACACUUGUCUUGCUACUAUAGUUUUGAUAUCCAUGUAUACAUUCAGUUCUUCGUUACAGUAGCGGUAGUUAUGUACUCUGUUAUUUUCUAUUUCCUUUCAGUUUAUGGUUACUGUAUUUGUUAUAUCUGCUCAUGACCUUAUUUAUCUCUUUCUGAUCCGGUGAGUACUCCUCGCCUUCGUCGGCUUGUGGUACCCACUGGAAGGGGAGACAUGUUUACAUGUUCUCACCUCCCCUACCAUUUUUCAAGUAUUGCGGGCGAUGAGGGUUGAGACGAGACGUGAGACACGUUCGUAGCGGUCGAUAAAGCUUCCGACCCGGUUUGUUUGGUUUAGUUGUUACCCUCUUUAUUUCUGUUGAUAUAACUUAGACAUACUGGUUCAGUUGAUUUUGUUUACUUGGAUAAAUAUGAUUUUCUUAAAUGAAUUAAAGGACUUAUGGUUUACAUUGAGAUGAAAAUAAUUUUCUACUCCUCGUGGUAGCGUGUUUUUAAAAAGAAAAAUGUUUCCGUGUGGGAAACAGUUUUUAAAAGGUUUUCUCGUGGUUUUUCAUAACUUAGUAUUUCAAAACCAGUUUUCGGGUAGAAAACUUUUUAAAUAAUAGUUGUGGAUUUAUGUUUAAAAUCUGAAAUAUGAAUCUGUGGUGAAUGGUGUAUGAAUAUAUGAAUGGUUGAAUGUUUGUAUAUUCAUUUGUGGUGGUUGUAUCCUGAUUAUACAUCUUGUAACUGUGCGACGCCGAACAAAGACAGGGGAGACUCUGUCCGUGUGAACAGUGGACUCCCUGUAUUUGUGGCAGAUCUGGCAUGCCCUGGGGGUCAGGUUUUCAAAAAAAAAAAAUUGAGCGCUUCCGUAUUGCUUUUAAAUAAAAAAAGGACCCCGGGGCGUGACAAAGAGCGACCCACUGGAGGAUCAAGUAACAAGGUCAAGUGUAAAGCAGGCUAUAAUCGAUGCAAGUGAUCAAAUAGAUCAUACCAACCGCUGUCAAAGCAACGUUGGCACUAUCCGAUGCAUAAUCUUCUAAUGCAACUCGCCGUCUAAACCCAUGGCUAAGGCGACAAUAGCCAAUCAGCCCCAACAUCAGACUAAGUCCCAUAUUCUAGAUACAAUUCACUUCACACUACCCUCUACUACUUGUAGUUCAACAAUCCUGAACAUUAGGCCAUCAACAUGAAAACAAUGCACACUAGCACUAGGUUCAUGUUGUAGAAGCAUAUAUCAAUUUUCUAGCAUGAGUAGUAAAAUGAGUAAAAUGUCAAUCUUAACCACAUUGGCACUUUUUUCAUGAAAACUCAACAUAAUUAACCUACUAGAAGGUUUAGAAUCCAAAUGUAAUACAAAAGUUGAAUAAAUAUAGACAUAAUGUGAAGUCCGAUAUUUUCGACGAAUUCAACCCACCAUAUGCACAAUCCGGCAAAAAGGAAUGAAGAAAGCCCCAUCUCAGCCAAGAAUCUAGUAAGGAAAUACCAACUAAUCACCAACUAAUCAUCUACAACCAGCCCAGGGAGCUACAAAAUAAAAAAAUCCAACAUCGGGUAAAAUCUGUCAAUUCCAGCAAAAAAUAGAUUUUCACAAAAUUGACUAAUCAAACCUACUCUGGAUAGCAAUUCAAAUCACCAGCACCUUCUCUAACACAAAAUCAAUAGGAAAAUAUAAAGAAAUAAGAGACCAUGGAUUUGUUGGCCUAGUGGCCCUAAUCCUUCGUUAGAUUUUGAUGAUAACAAAUAAUUACGAUUAUUGGACUAAUCUUUUAUCUUCAGUUUUUGUGUUUUAGGCCUUUCUAUCUUCAAAAGGACUCAAGAUGGGCAAUCUUCUAGCACAAAGCUUCACCACUUUAAACUAUGUUUGCUUCUUUUGUCAAAUAGACAAACUCACUCUCUCUAUUCUUAAUUUGAUUAAUAAUAUGCUUUAUGAUUAGAGUCAGAAAUUUUGAGCUAAGUUUGAUCUAUUCCUCUUAUCACUUUAUAGCUCAUUUGAACAAAUCUCUAACUUGUGAUAAGUGGUUUCUAUCUCCUUCUAUAAGGUGCAUAGGAUUUUAUAAUAUUUAAAAUCUGCUCAAAAGUUCUCUAUCAAGUUACUAUUCUGGACUCUAUUCUGGGUGCCCUAAAGUGGAUCCGAAUCUCAUGUGUUUUUGGAUCCGGCCUGUUUGCUGUUCGAGUGGCCCAGAAAUUUCUUUACCUGAUCUGGGCGCCUGAAUGUCUGUUUAGGGCGACCGAAUUGUUUGACUUGACAGGUUGCGUGUUCCGGACAGUACGACAGAUCGGUCCAAAAAGUUCUGAUGCGGCACUGCGCAGGUGCCGUGCGUGCAUGGAAAUGUUGGGCGUCCAGAACUUCUGGAAGCCCAAAUGUUCCCGCUCAGAGAAUACGACGCACGCGGUGCGACUAUGUCAGAAAAGCUGUCGCACGUGAUCUGGGCGCUUGUCACGCCCCAAGCUCCGCCUAUUUGGUCGGAUUCGGGCACACCAACAAACCGCCGAACAGACAUGGUUUUUUCUGUACCGCUGACAGAGUUUUUCCUGUACGUCAAAGGCAUCACAAUCUAUACAAUGCGCUAGGUUUCAACCAGGAACAACAUACAAACAAAGAUUGCAUAAGGAAAGUAUUAAAACAUAAACACUAUGCUAUUACAAGCAUUUCAACUCACAUACAUUUUACAUAUUACAUCUUUAAUUCUUUUUAGCUUUCAAAUACAAUCAGAUUUAACAUAAUUAUUACAACUUGGUUCUUUUUCCUUUUCACAUCCUUAAGUAGCCGACUAAGGGUACUCCUAUCUCUGGUCUUAGUGGUAGGGCGCUAUCUAUGGAGCUACGCCCUUUCCUCGCGCCGCUGCGCCGCUCGCGUAUGAACCUGAAAUCCCCAAAACCACGUGGGGUGAGAACUAUAUAAAUAUAGUUUCCAGUGGGUACCGCUAUCCAACGGAAGAGCUCGACCCACUAGGUCCAAAGGAGGCACUGUAAACAUAUUAGUCCAACAGAUAUCCACAGAUAUUUAUACAAGUAUUAAAUACAUGCGCAUGCCUCACAAAUGCAACUAUGCAAAUCAUGCAACUCAUACAAGUAGAUCACUUGACUCUACUCUUUGUCAUUUAUCUUUCUUUUUUAUUUGCAAUUCUUUAUUGCUAACCAUUCUUUACUACUUGCAAUUCUUUAUUCUUUACCACUCUUUAUUCGUUGCUAAGGGCACUCUUAUCUUAGCCAUACUAUGCUCAAUUGCCGUUCUUUAUUCUUUGUUUUUCUUUUCUAAGGUUUUUUUUUUCUUAGCCAACUAUGCCACUCGACUCGGUCUUGAGUCAAUCAUCUGUGGAUAAUCCGCGCUCUGUCCGGCUCGAGGUGAAGGAACUCUCACAUACACCUCAGCCUUCAAUCCAUAAACCACAUCGCCCAACGGGUCGCCCAGAGCUGCGUAUACCCGUGGUCAGGGAUCUUCCCGGUGGGAGAGGAAUAUGCCACACACACCCGCGGCCCAAGACCCCCGAUAGGGAGGGGAAUAUGCUACACGCACCCUAGCGAUCCAAGAUUCAUCCAUAAGCCUAUCCUUGAAGUUCUUCCGGUGGGAGGGGAAUAUGCCACACGCACCCACGGCCAAGAACUGUCGAGUUCACAAGUCCUGGGAUUCCGAAAUCCACUUUCAUAUCUCAAGGGUUGGUCUCACCCUAUGUUGACAACCUUUCUAGGUUCAAGUCACUCCUCAACCUAAAUUUAAUAACAUUAGGUUUACUGCCACUAUACUCAUAGCCUAGGUUCUACAAAUGACGCACCUCGCACGGUCGAUGGAUUUUGCCGUGGGGUAAUACUAGGUCUAUUUGUCUACCACCACAAAUGACGCACCUUGCACGGUCGAUGGAUUUUGCUGUGGGGGAGUAUUCAUGAUUCAGAUUAGUAUUUAUAUGUAUAUGGGUAUCAGGUAUCGCGGGUCAUGGCUUCUAAUAGAUGCAAGCAUCUAUUGUUAAUUCCUCUCUAUAGAUUGGGGUACCUUUGAUUAAGAGACCUUUGUAAAGAUAGGAUUGAAUGAAUCAUAUCUUGAUUUAUUGAAUCCUAAGUAUAUGUAUUAGGAUUCAGUUGGAUUUGAAAUUGACCAGGUCUAAGUAUAUGUGUUAAGACCUAGUCGAUAUUAAACUCUAUAUAUUAGAGUUUAAUUGGCUCUAAGUAUAUGUUUUAGAGUCCGAUUAUAUUCACCUUGGUUGUUUAUUUUAAGGUGGAGAUGUGAUCAAACCCCAAGUAUAUAUAUUGAGGUAGGUCGGAUUUGAUAUUACUCGAAAGUAGAGAAUGGCUAAUUCCUAACUGUAUGUAUCAGGGUUAACCGAGUUUAAUAUAUUUUUCACUCUAGUUAUAUGUGCUAAAGUGAAGAUCUGACUAAGCCUUAUGGUAUUGCGUUAGGGUUCGUCGGAUUUGAUUUCAUGAGCUCUAAGUAUAUGUAUUAGAACUCGAUCGGGUAUGGAUUUCACUCUAGAUAGAUGUGCCAGAGCAAAAGGCUGACUAGACCCUAAGUAUAUGUGUUAGGACUAGUCGAAAUUGGUUUGACUUCCACUCUAGGUAUAUGUGCUAGAGUAAAAGAUUGACUAGACCCUAAAGGAUAUGUAUAAAGGGUUAGUCGGAUGAAUUCUAAGUAUAUGUGUUAGAGUUCGAAUAAAUUUGAUAUCAUUUGACUGAAUUCUAAGUACAUAAUUGAGAACUCUGUCGAUUUGGAGAUAAUUUUGCCUUAGUUAUAUUUACUAAGGCGAUUGACUUAGCCCUAAGUAUAAGUAUUAGGGGUAGUCGAUAUUUGAUUUUUACUCUAGAUAUAUGUGCUAGAGUAAAGAAAAGGUUUAUGAUGAACUUUGGGCAUGAGAUUUGGGUAUUGCUUCAUGAGAUUUGGGUAUUGGUUCAUGAGAUUUGGGUAUAUAGGAUUUGAAUAUGAUUCAGUUCAUGAGGUUAAGAUGUAAUUCAUGUAGUUCAUGAAAUUUGGAUAUAGUUUGGUGCAUGGCUCAUAGGAUUUGGUAUAUGGUUCAUGAGGUUUGGUAUAUGGUUCAUGGGAUUUGGUCUAUGGUCUUGGGUUAUGGUUUAUGGUUCAUGAGGUUUGGUGUAUGGGAUUUGGUUCAUGGUUCAUGAGAUUUGGUUCAUGAACUUGGUUUAUGAUUCAUGAACUUGAUGUAUGAUUUAUGAGGUUUGGUUUAUUUGGUUCAUGUAUGGAAUUGGUAUAUGGUUCAUGAGAUUUGGUUUAUGGUUUAUGAACUUGGUGUAUGGUUCAUGAGGUUUGUUUAUGGUUCAUGAACUUGGUAUAUGGUUCAUGAGAUUUGAGUCAUGAACUUGGUGUAUGGUUCAUGAGAUUUGGGUAUUGAAUUUGUUUCAUGAACUUAAAUAUGGUUCAUGGGUUUAGUAUAUGAACUUGGUUUAUGGACUUGAUUCAUGAUUCAUGAACUUAGUUUAUUUGGUUCAUGAACUUGGUUUAUGGUUUAUGAGAUUUGGUUCAUGAACUUGGGUAUGGUUUACGGGUUCAUGAAUUUGGUGUAUGGUUGUAUGGUUCAUGAGAUUUGGUUCGUGAACUUGGAUAUAGUUUAUGGCAUUUGAUAUGGUUCAUGGGAUUUGGUUCAUGAACUUGGAUAUAGUUUAUGGCAUUUGGUUAAUGGUUCAUGAGAUUUGGUUCAUGAACUUGGUGUAUGGUUUAUAUGAUUUGGUCCAUGAACUUGGGUAUGGUUCGUGGUGUUUGUUUCACGAACUUGGCUUAUGAGAUUUGGUUUAUGGUUCAUGAAACUUGGUUCAUGAACUUCGGGUAUGGUUCGUGGUGUUUUGUUCAUGAACUUGGAUAUAGUUUAUGGCAUUUGGCUCAUGGUUCAUGAGAUUUGGUUCAUGAACUUGUGUAUGAUUUAUAGGACUUGGUUUAUGGUUCAUGAUUUGGUGUAUGGUUUAUGGUUCAUGGUUUAUGGUUUAUGAACUUGGAUAUGGUUCAUGGGAUAUGGCGUAUGGACUUGGUUCACGAACUUGAUUGUAGGAUUUGGUUCAUGAUUCAAGGAAUUUGAGUUCAUGAACUUGGUUCUUGGUUCCUGAUUCAUGGGAUUUAGGUCAUGAACUUGGUUCAUGAAUCCAAGUUGGAAGUCGGGUAUGGGUUCUAUUUAUGAUUGGGUUUGGAUUUAAGGUUAUUUGUGGAUUGGAUUGGAUUUGAGUUUGAUUUUAUUUGUGGACUUGAUUUGGUUUGAGUUUGGAUUUGAUUUGGAUUUUGGGUUUUUAUUUGUGGACUUAGGUUUGAUUUGGGUUUUAUGGGUUUAGGUUUUGGUUUUGGGUUUCGAUUUAUUUGUGGACUUGAUUCGGGUUUGGGCUUGGAUUUUAUUUGGGUUUUGGGUUUGGAUUUAUUGUGGACUUGAUUCGGGUUUGGGGCUUGGAUUUUAUUUGUGGACUUGGUUUGGAUUUGGGUCCGGAUUUAGGUUUUGGGUUUAUGUUUUAUUUGUGGACUUGGUUUGAUUUGGGCUUGGAUUCAGGUUUGGAUUUAUUUGUGGACUUGAUUCGGGUUUGGGCUUGGAUUUUAUUUGUGUACUUGGUUUGGAUUUGGGUCUGGAUUUGGGUUUUGGGUUUGGAUUUUAGUUGUGGACUUGGGUUUUCUUUUCAAUUCUAUUUCGGGUCCAAGGAAAUCCUCUUUUGAUUUUGUAAUUCGAUUUGGGGUCCGAAGAAAUCUCCUUUUGAUUUUGCAAUUCGAUUUGGGGUCCGAAAAAAUCCCUUUUGAUUUUACAAUUCGAUUUGGGGUCCGAAGAAAUCCCUUAUUGAUUCUAAUUUGAUUUGGGGUUCGAAGAAAUCCCCGUUUUGAUCUUGAUUUGGGUUCGAAGAAAUCCCCUUAUUGAUUCUAAUUUGAUUUGGAUUCCGAAGAAAUUUUCGUUUUGAUCUUGAUUUGGGGUCCGAAGAAAUUUUUGUUUUGAUCUUGAUUUGGGGUCCGAAGAAAUUCCCGUUUGAUUCAUGAUUUGGGGUCCGAAGAAAUUCCCGUUUGAUUCUAAUUUGAUUUGGGGUGUGAAGAAAUCCCCGUUUGAUUUAUAAUUUGGGGUCCGAAGAAAUCCCCGUUUUGGUUCUGAUUUAGGGUCCGAAGAAAUUCCCGUUUUGAUUCUAUAGUUCGAUUUGGUUCGGGGUCCGAAAAAUGGGGAAUCUUUGAUUCCCUUCCCCUCUUCUUUCGAAAAUACCGAACCGACGAUGCUGGAGAUGACGGCAAUGAAGAUGAUGUCGGUGGCGCGGAUCUGUUUGGCCGGUGAAUUUGAUUCGAUAUUUUCAAAAGAGAUUGAAGGGUCCGAAGAAACGGGAAAUCUUUGAUUCCCCUCCCCUCUUCUUUUGAAAAUACCGAACCGGCGAUGCUGGAGAUGACGACGGUGAAGAUGAUGUCGGUGGCGCGGAUUUGUUCGGCCGGUAAAUUUGAUUCGAUAUUUUCAAAAGAUGUUGAAGGGUCCGAAGAAACGGAAAAUCAAAGAUUCUCCUCCCUUCUUCUUUCGAAAAUACCGAACCGGCGAUGCUGGGGGUGGUCGCGGCAAUGUAGAUCACCCAUUCAAUUAAUCAACGGCUUCGAAUGGGGUAUUGAGAGGUCCGAAGAAAUAGGAAGCCAUUGGCUCCCCUCCACUCUCCUAUCGAAGUCGUCUAGACGGUAUGGAUGACUACGGUAGCAGGACCUAAAAAAAAGAAAAAAUGGGAUGGGGAAGAAAAUAGAUCCAUUUUUUUUAUUUUUAUACAUUUUUUUUUAUUUUUUUCCUUCUUCAUUUUUCUUCCUUUUUUUUCUUUACUUGUUGAUCAAAUGACGGAUUGGAUGAAGCGGCUCGACGAUCUCUUCUCCUUUCCGCGGCUCGGCGAUCUCUCCUUCUUUCCGCGGCUCGGCGAUCUCUCAUCCUUUGAUUUUUUUUUUAUAUGUCGGAAUGUGUGUAGCAAUCUAUCUAUUUUUUUCUCUUCUCCGUCUAUCGUCCGACGUUUGAUUUUGAUUAUCAUAUUUAUAAUAGAAAGGGUAGCGAGAGAUAUUUUGAGGAAUCAGUUAACAAUUCGAAAUUCGAAAUCGAAUUUUGAAUCGGUUGUUGUGGUUGGUUGGAAGAUAUUUUGGGGUUGGUUGGGAAUUCGAAAUUUGAAAUCGAAUUUUGAAUCGGUUGUUGUGAUUGGUUGGAAGAUAUUUCGGGGGUUGGUUGGCGAUUCGAAAUUCGAAAUUGAAUUUGAAUGGGUUGUUGGAUGGUUAGAGGAUAUUUUGGAAAUUGGUUGGGGAUUCGAAAUUCAAAAUCGAAUUUUGAAUCGGUUGUGGGAUGGAUAGGUAUUCAAAAUUUGAAUGGAUGUUGGUUGAGAGAUAUUUUGCGAGUUUGUUCGAAAUUCGAAAUCGAAUUUCGAAUAGGGUUGUUAGGAUAACAAAUAUUUUCUAGUUGGUUGGGGGUUUAAAAAUUUAAAAUUGAAUUUGAAUAUGAUAUUCGAAAUUGAAUUUUCAAACGUGGGUAAAAAUGUGGGCCGUGAUCCCAUGAAUUGGGCUAAAAUUGGGCCCACUUUGAUGAAACUUGUUGGGCACAAAUAUUCAUUGGGCUGAGAUGAGGCUCGAAUUAUUGUAUAGGCCUAAAAUUUUAAAGGGCUUUCAUGAGGCUCAUUAAUUUACAUUUAUGAAUGAGCCUAUUAUGGAUUUAAAUUAUUGGCCCCAAAAUUCCUUGGUCAACAUGAGACCUAUUGGGAUUGUAUGAGUCCGAAUUUAAUUGGUUUUGAUUAUGAUUAGGAUUACUUUAUUCCUCUUUUUUUUUUUUUUUACUUCAAAAACACUAUUGUUCUUACUCACCUAGGUUCAUCUGACUUUAGGUUCAAUACCACUCAUCACAUAACCUAGGUUUUCUUGAUUAUAGGUUCAACUCAACUCAUCUCAUAACCUAGGUUAUUUAACUCUAGGUUCCAUUCUCAACCUAUGUUCAAUGACACUGGGUUCAAUGCUACUCAUGAUUCACCUAUGUUCAAUAAUACUAGGUUUCAAUGCCACUCAUGAUACUUGUUAUCCUAGUUAUCCACACUUAGGAUUCUUUACAUGUCACACUUGUCAAAUUCUUAAUUAUACUUAGAGUUCAUCAUUCAUAUGAAUCUAGCAUAUGCUCACAACAUAUCAACAUGCAUGUGUUCUCUAGCAUCUCAUGCACAUGUCUAGGUUCUUAUAAAAAAUGGUAGUCAACAUAUCUCAUGCAUUCAUUGGCAUAUAUCUUAUGCAUUCAUUAUUAUCUAUCAUAUGCAUUCAUUAGCAUUUAUCUCAUGCAUUCUUUACUAGUAUAUAUCUCAUUCAUUCAUCUAGCAUUUAGCUCAUGCAUUUAUUUAGCCUCUAUCCCAUGCAUUCACUUAGCAUCUCAUGCAUUUAUAUAGCCUCUCAUGAUAGAUAACAAAUAUCAAGCAUAAUAGGAUUUAUGCAUUCAUACUAUCAUGUACAACCUACCAACUAUACAUGCAGCAACAACAUUCAUACUUCACUUUGGCUUGGAAGUGACCUCACUUCGGUGAAGCACAAUCCACCUUUAAAUGAUACCGGAAUACGAGGAAUUCACUUCCCACGAUUUAUGAAGGAUCGCAAUUAAUCCUCGCUCGCGACAAACGAAGCUAAAAUGAGGUUUUUCCUCACUAGCUUGCCGUAGGCUCGUCGGAAUGCCGAUCCGAGCUUUCCGACGCGUCAAUUUUACCCUCAAUUACGUUUCCACGCGAUCAAUUUCCAGUUAGACCUCCUGUCACGUCCCAUGACCCGCCUAUUUGGUCAGAUUUGGGUCGUCAACAGACCGCCGAAUGGACAGAGUUUUUCCUGUACGUCCUAGGCGUCGCAAACAGUACAAUACAAGAAGUUCCAAACACAAACAGUAUUCAUACAACGAUUGCAUAAGGAAGGUAUCAAACAACAUAAACAACUAAGCUAUUACAAGUAUUCACAUCACAUGCUUUUUACAUAUUACAUUUUUAUUUUUUUUCUUCCAAAUACAAUCAAGAUUACACAAAUAAUGCUUUCCUUCUCUUUUCUACACCCCUAGCUAGGCCGACUCGGGGUAAUGCUAUCUCUGGUCUCUGUGGUAGGGCGCUAUCUACGAAGUUACACCCUAUCCUCGCGCAGCCGCGUCGCUCACGUGUGAACCUGUAUCCCGAAAAACAACACGGGGGUGAGAACUAUUAUCCAUAGUUCCAGUGGAUACGACUACCCAAGGGAAAAAAAACUCGACCCACCAAGUCCGAAGGAGGCACUGCAACAUGUUAGUCCAACAAGUAUCCACAGAUAGAUAUAUUUGAUCAAAUAUUUUAUGUAACUAACAUUUAUGAUAUUCAUGCCUCGCAACAUGCAACAAUGCUAACCAUGGAACUCAAUAUGCAAUAAGGUAAGUAGAUCUACUAAUUCUACUCGCUAUUCAUAGCUUAUCCAAAUGACAUCUAUGUUUUCCUCUAUCUUAGAUUCAUGUCAAUUACAAUUCUGCUCAUAAGGUUUCAUCUACCUUUCCAAAGCUAUUUACUCGACUCGGUCUUGAGUCAAUCAUCCGUGGAAUACCGCACAAAGCCAGGCUCAAGGUAAAGGACAUCUCACUUGCACCUUAGCCUUAAGUCUACUCAACUGGGAUGCCAACUAGGAUGCCAAUCCACUCUGCUGGGAUUCAUCCAUAGCUCACAAGAAUGUCACCCAAUCUCACUGGCUAACCAAAAGGUUAAGCCCCGACUCACUUUGAAAAUCUUAUAGGUAAGGAGAAACUGCACUCGCACACCGAGACCGUCUGCGGGACAACUACGUCUGCCCCGGGACAACUACGUCUACCCCUAUCGUGAAGUACUCCGGAGACAACUGCUUGGGUGGAGCGACCACGCCAAGUGAAAACAGACUAAAUGAGUAUGAUCCAAUCCUCUCACUCGAGGAUACCCUGUCUACCAGGUUUAACAACGACACGGAAAAUCCAUUAAUCCCAACAAUAAUGUCACAAGUGUCUCUACUACACUAGUUUCACGUGGCACAUAUCCACGACUUGGGAAAUCAUCUAUCCCUAUGUUCACGUCAUAGUGUCUCUACUACACUAAUCCAAAUGCCACUCGAUCUACUUGACAAUCUACUAGUCCACAUCGAGUACCAUAGUUUUCAUGUUCUUGUUUUCCAAUGCCGAAUUCUCUAAUCCACCAAAAGUUAUCGACCCAAGUCCAACAUGCAUAGUUCUUCUAACAUAAUCCAUAUAUGUCAACAUGCAUAGUUCAUCUAGCAUCUCAAGAUAUGUCAACAUGCAUAUUUAUCUAACAUAAUCCAUAUAUGUCAACAUGCAUAGUUCUUCUAACACAAUUCAUAUAUGUCAUCAUGCAUUCAUUUAGCAUUAUGUAAUCAUGCAUUCCAUCUAAUAUUUUUACAAUACAUCAUCAUGUACUCAAUGGUAGCCUAACAUAGCAUUCGACUUAUGCAUUCAUAUGUUCUACAACCAACUACCAUUAUAUGCAUCAAUAAUAAACAUCACUUCGCUUUGACAUGGAAGUGAGCUAAACAUUUCGGUGAGCACAACUCACUUCGUAACGCUCUUCGAUUGCUUGUCGACACUUGCAAUCGGCCUCCCGCGGCACUCGUUGUCCGGUUCGGCCGAUCUUUCAAAUAAUCACCUGCCGUGCGUUAAUCCGCGGCCUCGGGUUUUAAAGGGCUUCAUCUAGAUGCCGCGAUGCCAUAAAUCUGAUUUCGUGAUUUUUAGACGCCGCCUCGGCCCUUCAGGCGGAAACGAAGCCAAACGGUCCUUUUUUCCAAUAUCUUUGCGUAGCCUCGACGGAUUGUCGAACCGUCUUCGCCAACGUAUCAGAAAACCUAACAAUUUGGUUUGUAUAGGGUUAUACUAGAUCAAAACCCUCUAAUUUUCAAAACCCUUAUUCUAACCCUAGCCUCUAUAAUUGCUCCAAAUAAUCCAAAUUAAAUGGAGAAAACAUGCUAACAUCACAUUAGAGGCUAUUAGAACAUCAAAUAUUAAGGAUUUAGCCAAAUUCUAAACAUUUACCAAAUUUGCGAAUGCCGAGUCGAAAGCAUGCUGCUCAACCGGGCGCACGAAGACUCGAACCGUUGCUUCCAACGCGUUCACAAGCUCGCUCUCCGCCAACGCCACGAGUUUGAGGGAGAGAGAGAGAUGAGAGAGAUAUUUAGAGAGAGAAAAUGAGGGUUUCUCUCUCCCUCUCCAUACGUGUGUGUGUGUUGUGGCUGUGGGUUGCUCGGUUGAAGGAGAAGAAGAAGAAGACAACUCCUUUUUAUAGUAAACACCCUCAAAAUACUAUUCACACUAGCAGUUUAGCAGCUCAGGAUCAGAUACUUUUCGCCGGCCCUUCUGAAUGCCCGUUUUUGCUCAAAUUUGACAGUUAGGCUCGAUUUGUGCUAAACAAACGGAAUAUAUCUUAACUUUCCAGUUUCGACCAUUUUUUGUCACCGAAAGCUCUACCGAACUGUAAUCUCUAGCAGAUAGCAGUCGGAUUUUAUUUUUCACUUUCCAGAUGUCAGAAUGACAUGAAACUUUAAAUCUAGCCUUAUAAAAAUAAUCCCGACAUAUUUUCAGAUUUUCAUAAUUUUCUGACACUGCAUUUUCUGCUAAAAAUACAAGUCCCGUUUCCCACAGAAAAUUCUAAAUCUCCUAUUUUCAUUCCGAUUUAAGCACGAGUCAUUCCAGACUUACAUUUUACUUCUUUAAGUCCAAUAAAAAUAGUAUCUUACACUAUUUUUAUUUAUACUUAAUUUUAUAUUACAAUCUGGUACAUUACACUUCCAAUCCUAUAAAGUUGCAUUUUGAAGCCUUAGCUCCAUAUAUUUUCUACAUACACAGGUUCUAUAAGAACAUAUAGAACAAUACAAACCUCAACAACCCAACAAUCUCAUACUAAGUAAUUUAGAGAUACAAGAGAUUAACUCCUGUCACAUUCAUAUCUCAUACAACUCUCAUAUCUCACCCAAGAGUGCAUAAUUGACACUCAACAUAUAGUUUCCUCUAGGUUCUCAUGGCAAAACAUGCUUUACAACUUAAGAAACCCCAAACCAAAUCCAUUUUAGGGUUAAUAUAACAAUCCCUAACAUAGGAAUUUAACCAACUUUACCUCAGGUUUUAUAUUUCAAUACGUGACCUUUGUUCUCAAGCUCCUUCACAUCAAGAACAUAUAGAAUAACCCAAUUCAUACAUAACAUCCUUACUACUCAACACAUUGCUUGUUUUCAUGACAAAAUAGGUUUCACAUGGCAGCAUAAGCUUUAGAAGCCAAACAAAUCCAUAGUUUAACCUCUAUGAGAUCUAAAACUCAACCCUUUAUAGAAUAGAUAUCAUAAACCUAAUAAAAAAAUAGCAACCCUGCCUCAAAUCUCAACUCCAACAGGUUGCUUCCCUGCUAUAAACCUUCUUUUCAGCUCUACACAUCAAACUCCACCACCUCUCUUCUCAAACAACCCACCUAGCUUGCAGAGGGAGAGAGAGAGGAGAAGAAAGAGAUAAAAGAGGUGAAGAUAAGGAUGCCCCUGUACGCAUCAAGUUGGUGGAGGGCUGGGUUUAAAGGAUAAGUCCAAACAACUGCUGAAAACCCCCUCCACAAAGUUGAAAUUUUCUUUACUAAUCCGUUCCAAUUUCAGAAUCUGAUACUUUUCGCCGCAGCCCUUAUGAAUGUUCGUUUGUGCUCAAAUUCGACAUUCAGGCUUAGUUUAAAUUAAUAAGAAGAGCGAAAUCUUAACUUUCCAGUUUGGACCAUUUUUGGUCACCGAAAGAUCUACCAACUAAAAUCUCUAGCAGAUAGCAGUCAGAUUUUAUUUUUCACUUUUCGGGUGUCGGAAUGACAUGAAACUUUAAAUCUAAUCUCAUAAAAAUAAUUUUGACAUAUUCUCAAAUUUUCAUAACUUUCUGACACUGUGAAUUUUCUGCUAAAAGAUCAGCCCCGUUUCUUACGAAAAAUUCUAAAUUUUCUGUUUCCAUUCCAAUUUCAGCACAAGUCAUUUCUGACUCAUAUUUCACUUCUUUAAGUCCAAUAAAAAUAGUAUCUUACACUAUUUUUAUUUAUACUUACUUUUAUAUUAAAAUUUGGUACAUUACAGUGCCCACAACUUCUAGAGGCCCGAAUGUGCGAAUUCGGAAAAGCGGCGCACGUUGUCUAACAGGCAGCUAGAAGCACAGUGCGCGUGCACAACUUCUGGGCACCCGAAAUCAAGUUUAGGGCGCUCGAAAGUGCAAUGGCCUGGAGCUGGCCGAGGCUAUGAAUAGAUGGUUUUGAGGCCUUUCUCAGCAGUAAUUUGAAAGUCUAUUUGAGCUUAAAAAUUUCAGUGUUUAUAAUACUCUUAGCUCUCAAUUCUCUCUCUAAACUUGAGUGCAAUUUGUAGUGAGAUAUAAUCUUGUAAAAGAGAGAAAAACAAAGUCUUGGAGCUUGAAAAGAAUAAGGUGUUUGUGUGAAGGCUUGGUGCUUGUCCGCAAAAUCAUCAUCUAGUGGAGAUCCAACAUUCUCUAGUAUUAAGAAGUUGGCAGGAACGUAGGCAAAGUGCCGAACCUCGAAACAAAUCGAUUUUGUGCGUUUUGAGUUUGCAUUUCUUUAAACUCCCCACUUUAUUAUUUGUUUCGGGUUUUUAAAUUGCUUGAUUAUUUAACCUUUUAUUUUAGAAACCUAAUUCACCUCCCCCUCUUAGGUUGCCAUUUUGAUCAUCAAUUGGUAUCAGAGCAAGGUCUCACAUUAUUUAGAUUAAAAUCUAAGUGAGAAUGGCAUCUAUGGGAAAGAAUAUCGAAGGACAAUCUAUUGUUCGGCCACUAUAUUUUGAUGGGACCAAUUAUCCCUUUUGGAAGAUUAGAAGGAAGAUAUUCUUUCAAUCUCUAGAUUUGGUAUUUGGAACAUAAUCGAAAGUGGUUAUAUUAUUCCAUCAAAAUCUAGAGCAGAAUGGAAUGAAGCCGAAAAAUUUUGCUUUCAAUUGAAUGCUAAAACUUUCAAUUCAUUCUUUUGCGCUCUUAGUAGAGAAAAGUUUCAUCGAAUCUCUACAUGCACAACUGCUAAAGAGAUUUUGGAUAAAUUAGAAGUUACUCAUGAAGGUACUUCUAGGGUGAUGGAAUCUAAAAUAAGCAUNUCAAUUGAAUGCUAAAACUUUCAAUUCAUUCUUUUGCGCUCUUAGUAGAGAAAAGUUUCAUCGAAUCUCUACAUGCACAACUGCUAAAGAGAUUUUGGAUAAAUUAGAAGUUACUCAUGAAGGUACUUCUAGGGUGAUGGAAUCUAAAAUAAGCAUACUUAUGUCAAGUUAUGAACUAUUCAAAAUGGAGGAAAGUGAAUCCAUUUCGAAUAUGUUCACAAGAUUUACCAACAUUAUAAAUAGCUUGAAAACCUUAGGUAAGGAUUUUUCUCAAUCGGACUUGGUACG